This 47065-nucleotide long non-coding RNA is filed under the name Malus domestica (apple). RNAcentral describes it as "long non-coding RNA (MDOM_LNC002461)". Lineage: Eukaryota; Viridiplantae; Streptophyta; Magnoliopsida; Rosales; Rosaceae. The record is from RNAcentral.
GAGCUAGAAAAUUGGUAACGCUGGUAGUUCGUAGCAUGAUGUUUGGGAUGUUUAGAUCCUUAGCUACAGCUUUAGUGAAGUACAUAAGGUCAUCAUGGAUAAGGCAUGUGAUUUUGUUCUCGGGAUCCUGUUCCAUAAAUUGAGUCAAGGGCUGUCGGAAACACGCUGUGCAGUUGGCAUUUAUGGCCAGCGAAAUGGCCACUGCAUUCCCAGAUGAGAUCUCUUCAGCAGUCAAGCCAUCUUGUAUUGGAAAGAAGGUGAAAUCCGGGUGGUUUGAAGGGUUGGGGGAGUUGAACUGGGUGUGAAUAACAGUGAUAGAAAAGCCCUUUGAGUGAAGGAAGGAACCCAGCUGAAGCAUUGGAUUUAUGUGACCUUGGUAUGGACAUGGGAAUAAGACCAACCUGUUACUCUGUGUUUUCUUUUCCAUCUCCAUCCUUCCUUCUUUCUUUUUUCUCUUAGAGAGACAUAGACACACACCCCCAAAAGGUUACAGUGAUUGGAUUUCUAAAUUUUUGACUGCAUCAUUGAAACCCUUGGAGUUUUUAUAAAGGUGAGUUAUUAAAAACAUCCUUUUUUACCUUCUGCAUAAGCCUCUAAAUUCAAGCUCUUGAUUACUCUUUGAUUUGUUCAGGACAAUGACUGAAUAUAAAAUACACACACACACACACAUCCCGAUUUGCCAUCCCAGUAUCACAAGCUAAUAACACGAUGUCAUAAAUUUUAACUUCUUCACAUUACAUUAUAUUAUUGGCACAGAAUAUCACAAGGGCAUAUACGAGCAUCUAUAGGCGAUAGCUAUUCAGCUACCAGUAGCUUUGGCUACAUCUUCCUGGAUUAAAGCGGUAAGCGGUAACGGCUGAUUCUCUCAUCUCUUCCAGAAGGGAUUGAUGACAAUUGCAGAUAAAAUAUCUUUGGUCUAAAAUAAUUUUAUUGUCAUUGUUAUAUUGUUAGACAAGGGAAAAACAACAAGCUAUGUCUUCAUCUCUUAGGGAUCACGAUAAGUUGAUUGUCCUUGUUGAAUUAGUAUUCCUCCAAUACCUAAAGUUUAAUACCUUUAACUUAAUUAAUUGUUGAACAGUUGUUUUAACCUUAAUUUUUUUUUCCAGGAAAAAUGUGGCUUUUGAAUUGAAGAAAUGCUGCCUCCUUACACAGUGACAUCUGAAAAUUUUCAUUAUUUUGUCUCCCUAACAUUACUAUUUGUCAAAAGGGAAGCGUAGAAAAUUAGAAAUCAAUCUCCUUUCAUAAAUUCAAGCCCCAAUGAAUGGUACACACCUUCCUUCCCUAAAAUUCCACACAUUUCCUGCCAAUCCUUUGUUCAAGAUGAUUGACCAAUCAGAUUUUUCGUAAUAAAGAUCAUAUAAAUGAGCUGAUAAUGAAAAAAUUUGACGAAGUCAUCGUUUUUAUAUUUCACUUUCAUUGUGAAUUGGCAACACUGACCUAAAAAAAUCUGAGUUUUGCACGAAUCAUAAUCAAACGUAAGAAAAUUGUGAAUAAAUUUAAUACAAGUAGGCCUGACAAUUUCUAACACGAUUUGAUAACCCGACACGACACGACACGAAAUUAACAGGUGUUCAGGUCGAUACGAUAACUAAUCGGAAUGUUAUUGGGUAACCCGAUAAGCACCUGUUAAGAUAACGGGUUGGUUCGGGUAUAUAUGUGGGUAACACGAUACACGAUAAUCAAAAUAUUAAUUUUAUAAUUUUAUAACCCUAAAAAAACCUAUAAUAAUUAUAUAUAUUAAAUUAAAUGUUAAAAAUUGGUGAUCAUUGGAUCGGCUUAAAUAUAUAUAUCAUUCAAUUUCUUAAGUGUUAUACGUACAAAAUAAAUAAAUUUAAAUCUACUUAAUAUAUAUAUAUACACACACACACACACCAUUGAACUUGAUGGGAUACAAAUUUUACGAAAUUAAUUUUAACGAUUCAACCAUCAAACUUGUUUGUAUAUGCUUUGAGAUUGCAUUAGCAAAAAUUGAAAAAAACAAACAUUCAGAGAUCAAGUAAUGGGACAAAACUUUUCGACGGUUAUCAACGAAAAAUCACAAUUUAACUGUUAUUUUAACUUCGAUUUUGAUGAUUUUUUACAGCUACACUCCUUGACCCUGAAUACAAUGAAUGAACUCGAUCUUCAAUUUAAAAUAUUUACACUAGUAGAUACCACAAAAUCUUAUGUUAUACUUAAUGAAAGUAUGCAUAAACUCUUAAAUGUUAGUGAAUAUAUUGUUUUAUGGGAUAUGCAUUCUACGAAAUUAGUUUCAACUAUCCAACCGUUAAACAUGUUUGUAACUUUGAGAUCGCAUACGCCAAAAAUUGCAAAAAACAAACAUUUAAAGAUCAAGUAACGGGACAAAACUUUUCGACGGAUAUAAACAAAAAAUCAUGAUUUAAUGGUUAUUUUAACUCCGAUUAUGAUGAUUUUUUUACAGCUACACUCCUUGGCCUUAUAUGAAUACAAUGAAUGAAUUCGAUCUUCAAUUUAAAAUAUUUACACUAGUGGAUACCACAAAAUCUUAUGUUAUAUUGAAUGAAAGUAUGAAUACACUCGUUAAAUGUUAGUGAAUAUAUCGUUUUGAUGGGAUAUGCAUUCUACGAAACUAAUUUCAACGAUCCAACCGUCAAACUUGUUUGUAUAUGCUUCAAGAUCGCAUACGCCAAAAAUUGCAAAAAACAAACAUUCAAAGAUCAAGUAACUGGACAAAACUUUUCAACGGUUAUCAACGAAAAAUCAUGAUUUAACGGUUAUUUUAACUUGAUUUUGAUGAUUUUUUAUAGCUACACUCCUUGACCCUAUAUGAAUACAAUGAAUGAACUCGAUCUUCAAUUUAAAAUAUUUACAUUAGUGGAUAUCACAAAAUCUUAUGUUAUACUUAAUGAAAGUAUGAAUAAACUCUUAAGUGUUAGUGAAUCUAUUGUUUUGAUGGGAUAUGCAUUCUACGAAACUAGUUUGAACGAUUCAACCUUCAAACAUGUUUGUAUAUACUUCAAGAUCACGUACGCCAAAAAUUGUAAAAAACAAACAUUCAAAGAUCAAGUAAUGAGACAAAACUUUUUGACAGUUAUCAACGAAAAAUCACGAUUUAACGGUUAUUUUAACUCUGAUUUUGAUGAUUUUUUACAACUACACUUCUUGACCCUAUAUGGAUACAAUGAAUGAACUCGAUCUUCAAUUUAAAAUAUGUACACUAGUGGAUACCCAAAAAUCUUAUGUUAUACUUAAUGAAAGUAUGAAUAAACUAUUAAGUGUUAGUGAAUCUAUCGUUUUGAUGGGAUACGCAUUUUACAAAACUAAUUUCAACGAUCCAACCGUCAAACUUGUUUGUAUAUGCUUCGAGAUUGCAUACGCCAAAACUCGCAAAAAAACAAACAUUCAGAGAUCAAGUAACAGGACAAAACUUUUUGACGGUUAUCAAAGAAAAAUUAGGAUUUAACGGUUAUUUUAACUCCGAUUUUGAUGAUUUUUUACAGUUACACACACUCCUUGACCCUAUAAGAAUACAAUGAAUGAACUCGAUCUACAAUUUAAAAUAUUUACAGUAGUGGAUACCACAAAAUCUUAUGUUAUACUUAAUGAAAGUAUGAAUAAACUCUUAAGUGUUAGUGAAUCUAUUGUUUUGAUGGGAUAUGCAUUCUACGAAACUAGUUUCAACGAUUAAACCGUCAAACAUGUUGGUAUAUACUUCAAGAUUGCAUACGCAAAAAAUUACAAAAAACAAACAUUCAGAGAUCAAGUAACGGGACAAAACUUUUCAACGGUUAUCAAUGAAAAAUCACAAUUUAACGGUUAUUUUAACUCCGAUUUUGGAUGAUUUUUUUACAGCUACACUCCUUGACCCUAUAUGAAUACAAUGAAUGAAUUCGAUCUUCAAUUUAAAAUAUUAUACUAGUGGAUACCACAAAAUCUUAUGUUAUACUUAAUGAAAGUAUGAAUAAACUCUUAAGUGUUAGUGAAUCUAUCAUUUUGAUGGGAUACACAUUCUAUGAAACUAAUUUCAAUGAUCCAAUUGUCAAACUUGUUUGUAUAUGCUUCAAGAUCGCAUAUGCCAAAAAUCGCAAAAAACAAACAUUCAGAGAUCAAGUAACGGGACAAAACUUUUCCACGGUUAUUAACGAAAAAUCACGAUUUAACCAGUGUUCUAAAAAUCGGCCUAGGCGGCGCCUAGGCGUUGGGCGGCGGAGCCCCGACUAUAUUUCGGCCAAAACGUUCACUUAAGGUGGGGAGGAUUUAGGCGGUCGCCUAGGCGCUCAUUAGGCAUUCUAGGCUGUGUUAGGCGGCAGUCAAGGCGGCUGCAAAUCCCAAACUCACUGCAACUCUCGCAGCAAAUCUGCGUCGUACGUAGAAGCAGAGCCUCAGCGAGCUUCUGAAGCUUGUCGUCUAUGAGCAGAUGAGGGCUCGCCGUCUAUGAGCAGAUGAAGGAAGAUAUAGUACGAAUAGAGAGAGAGAGCCUCAGCAGCGUGAGUUGCAGUCUUGCAGAUUUAGUUUUUAGCAUCUGAAAGGGCUAAUGAAGAAGAAGAAGUGAAAAGGUUUAAUGGGAAUGAUACUUUCACUUUUCGAUGGGUCAAAAUAUGGUUUUGAUUUGAGCUCCACCUUGGGGAAUGUAAGAGAGGUGGUGGAACCCGGUUUUUAAUUUUGAAACCAAGCAUUGGCACACUGCAUGGUUUUGUUAUUGGGGAAUGUUAGAGAGGUGGAGUGGAACCCGGUUUCUAAUUUUGAAACCACCCACUGACACAAUGCAUGGGCUUGUUAUCUUUUGAAAAGUUGGAGAUAUAAAUAAAUAUAUAUAUCUAUAUAUAUAUAUAUUAUAAAUGUUAUAUGAAUUAUUUAGAUAAUGAUUUUUUCUUAGACUAUCAUAUUAUAUACAUAAAAUAAGUAAUUAUAUAGUCAUAUAAUAUAUAAUAAAUCUAAAUCUGUCUAGGCGUUAGGCCUCAGCUCGUCACCUGACUAGUGCCUAACGUUUUUUAGAAUCAUCUUUUUGCAUUUUAUCAUUUUUUUAUAUUAUCUUAUCCUUGGAUUUCAUACAAGUAUAAUUUUUUGUAAGUGUCAAUAUGCACUUAUUUACAAGAUAUAUAAGAAAUUUACCUAAAUCCGCCUAGGCGCUAGGCGCUAGCCCGCCGCUCGACUAGCGCCUAGCGUUUUUUAAAACCUUGGAUUUAACGGUUAUUUUAACUCUGAUUUGAAUGAUUUUUUACAGCUAUACUCUUUGACCCUAUAUGAAUACAAUGAAUGAAUUUGAUCUUCAAUUUAAAAUAUUUACACUAGUGGAUACCACAAAAUCUUAUGUCAUGAUGAUUGAUGAAAAUUGAAGAUUUUGUAAAAGGAAUAACAUGCAAGCUUUGAGUUCCAUUGGCAAGGUUUAAACUUUUGAGAAAUGCUUCAUAACCUUGAAAACAAAAACUCUUUCAUUUUGCAUAUCCUUACCCAUUUAAUAUUUUGUAAUAAACUAGUAGUGUAUGGAUGUUUGUUUAUUAUGCUCUUAUUUUCGAGUGUAGAUGUACUACUUAAACGACAAAUGUGUUUUAAUGUUUUGAAGUAAUAUUUAUGUGGCAAUGUGUGGUAUGUGCAAAUUUGAGAAAAAAAAAAUAUUUUUCUUAACGGAUCAUAACGGGUCGGGUCUGUUAAGAUAACGAGUGUGACAUGACACGACUUGUUAAGAUAACAAGUGUUACACGAAAACGACACAAACACGACAAACAUGACCCAUUUGCCAGGCCUAAAUACAAGAACAAGAGUCCUGAUCUUCUAAGGUUUGAUUUUGAGGACUUGUGAGGACCAAAUGCAUAUUAGCUACAAAUUGUAUUAGUUUAGAUCCAAAAGUUUAAAUUUUUUGACAAGUUAAUAAAGCAAAACAAGAAAAUGAGUUUUCUAAUAGUUCAUGAAUUUUAAGUUGGUUUUGAUUAUUAAGUUGUCAAAUAUUUUAAGCCUUUGGAUCUAAAUAAUCUAGUGGCUAAUAUGCAUUGAGUCGUCAGAUCCUCAUUUUGAGAACCCUACAAGAGCAGGACUAUAAGAACAAUUCAUGCUCCAAAUGGUCAAUCAUCUUGGUCAAAUGGAAUUCGUGCAAAAUCAUCUUGAGCUGAAGAAAUUGCAUGUAGGGCAUCGCUGAAAGAUCGGGUUUCUUUCUGUCGGUAUCCAUAUUCAACGUCUCCACCAUAACUUUACGCAAAUGUAGGUGUUUAUAAGUUAAUGUUCUUGUGAAAUUGGUAAUAGUAUAUAUGAGAAUGAAGCCCAAAGGGAAUGGUUGGGGUGGCAGCUUUCAAGUGCUGCAAUACCAGCCAGUGCAGCCACCCAACUCCUUUAAUGAAGGUUUUUAGUUAUAAUAAGAACAUUGGAAUUGCAUGUUAGCGUCGAGAAAUAAUGUACUUGAAUGGCUGGCCACUUUCUCGAAUCUAGCUAGUGGAUGACCAUAGGCUGCAUUUUGCAGUUAGUAUUUGGCAAUGAUAUAUCGGUUUGUAUCGGAAAGUUAUAGGGUGUUACAGUUGAACUGAAUUAGAUCCUUUUUCAACUUCUAACUUCUCAUUAUUGUCAAUUUCUGGAAUCCAAACUUGUAUAGCUUCAAAAUUUGGAAUUCAAACUUGUGUAGUUUCAAAUGUAAGGGGGUACCUUCGUUAGACAAGCGACGACAUUGUUCAAGAAUCAAUCAGAAAUGUUGUGGUUAUAGGUCUCUUCUGGUUUCCCUUAAGCACUAGUCUAAUUGCUUUGAUACCAUUCCGAAGGAGGAGGUUGGACUUUAUUCUAUCGGAGUUCCACUUCCGGGCAAACCUUGUUUUAUGUCGGAGUAUGAAAAGUUGUGUCUUAUUGUGUGAUUAAAUGUAUGACAUAGAUGUGUCUGUAUUUUCUACUAUUUAUUUUUCGUUUGUUAAAAAAAUUCACUCAUACCAUCGAGUUUGUUUAGAAUCUAGUAAAUUUAGUUCUUUUGUAUGAUUAUAAUAUGUUUUUAACUUUAGAUCAAGCCCACCUUAUUUUCAAAUCCCGGUCCAUCGCGGGCUGUGUUCGUCUACUUUAUAGCAUACAAAAUAUCAUGAAUGAUGAAGCUUACGAUAACUGAUUUUGCUAAUUUAGUAUGAAAUUGGAUGCUACUCUGUUUAUAGUAUGAACGAUGAAAUUUACAAAUGUGGGUUACACUAGUUGAUUAUGCUAGUGUGUUUGUUCCUUUGCAGCCAAGUUAUUCUCAUCCUUGUAAAUUAGACUAGUGUAAUAUCUCUCAGUCAAAACAAAAUAUGUUGAUCCUUACAUAUGGUUGGCAUAUCAAUGGGACUGCUUGAAAGAUACUCUCAACGAUUCAAUUCCAACCACAAUGGCUCCAAAACUGUCCAACUCCUGUGUGUCGGGACUUGCUUUCGGGGUGCUCAUUUCACUAUGUGCCCCCUUUGACCAACCCUUUAUUGGAAACCUUCGGGCAAUGAUACGCAGUCCGUCCGAACCUUUUAUUGGAAACCUUCGGGCAAUAAUACGGAGUCUGUCCGAACCACUCACAAGAAAGGCUUCUCAUUGGUGGCCAGACCCCAUGCCAUUAUAUAAAUCUUCAUUAUCCAUGAAAGCUAUGCUUCCUAGGCUUACAUAGCCGAUAGAGAGUUUUGUGCUUGUUUAUCGAGCCAUGACAUACAGCUCUGGCCAUCUUUCAACAAGAUUAUAAACAUGGAUGGAACAGUUUCUUGUAGAGGACUGAUAGGAAACUGUAACGACCCAUCCCCAAAUAUUACGAAUUUUAUAAUUUUAAAAUGUGAAAUUACGAAAAUGCCCUUCGAGGCAAAUACGUUGACUUUUGUUGACUGUCUUGUCAUGUCACAUAAGAUCCAUUCCCUUGGUGUAUCCUCAUAGUACUCGUUGCUAAAAACUCGUGGGCGCAAACGGAAUGUAAUUUGGAGUUACAAUGAAAGAGUUAUUAACGAACGAAGUUGAGGGCAAAAUGGUCAUUUAACCAUAAAUCUGGAAGGCUCCAGAUUUUGUUGGAGCAUCAAUUUAGUGCCAUGUGUGUGGUUGUGAUCAAGGAAGAAAAUAUCGGUGAUAUCGGAAAUAUCGGUAGUCCGAAAACACGGAAAUAUCGAUGGAAAUAUCGGUAAAAUAUCGAUAUCGAUAAAAAUUACAUGGAAACCACGGAAAUUGUAAGAAAAACUUGGAAAUUUUUAUUGAAACUUUGUAGGAUGUUUAUUUAGUCAAUUAUCUAUUAGUUUAUCACAAAAAAUUGGAAGGAAAUGCAUUGCAUGAUGGAUUUAACAUUAUCAAGUUGAUUAUAUAGCGAUCUGACAAACAUUAUGAGUGUAGAAAAUAUGUAGUAAUUAAUGAAAGAAGUCUAAACACACCAUAAUCAUUUAUAUAUAAUGAAUUAGUACAAUAUUUUACACUUUAGAACCACAAUAUUGUAAAAGCUGCAUGAAAUUGUCUAAAUAAUUGUAAAACUAUUGAGUGAGUUUAUCCUCCUGACAGGAGGAACCCACACACAUCAUCACUGUCAAAAACACAUCGCACGCACACACAACGCACGCACGCAGACCACACCUCAGUCUCUCUCUCUCUCGAUCCUUCUCGUUCUCUCUUCUCCCUUCUCUUCUUCCAAACACACACACACACACAGAGCUCCUCAGUCUCUCCCUCUCUCGAUCAUCCUUCUCCAUCUCUCUUCUCCCUUCUCUUCUCCCACACACACACUCACACAGAGAGCUCCACAGGUUGACAUCGGAUCCAAGUCCAACACACGCACACACAGAGAUCGGACUCACAGAGAUCUCCGAUCUCUCUUCUGCCAAACACACACACAUGCACACAGAGAUCUCUCGAUCUCUCAUCUCCAUUCUCCGAUCUCUCUUCUCCCUUCUCCGAUCUCUCUUCUCCCAAACACCCACAUACAAAGAGAGAUCUCCGAUCUCUCUUCUCCCAAACACACACACACACAGAGAUCGCCGUUGAUCGUGGCUCAGGCGAAGUCAGAGGUGCGCCGCGGAGCAAGGAUCGUUCGUAUUCCGCUUCGUCAGGUGAGAUUCCAUGAAACCCUAAACCCUAAUCUCUCCGACUUCACCCUGCCUUGAAUCGUUUGUAUAUUUGUGAAAUCUGAUGUAUAUUUGUGAAAUUAAUGUUAAGAUUCGUGUUUUUGCAAGGUUUUUGGGACGAAACCGGCCCGGGAAUCGCCCCACCGUCUCCGGCGUUCUUCUCCGACGUCGCCUCGGAUUCCGAUUCCACCGUCCAUGGAUAUUUCGCCGAUAAUUUCCAAAUAUCGCGAUAUUUGGCCGAAAACCCCACGGAAACCAGUUAAAAUAUCGCCGACCGGAAAAAUCGAUAUUAUCGGCGAUAUUUCGCCGAUAAUAUCGAUAUUUAAAUCUGUGGUUGUGAUGGAAAGAAGAGGAGAGAAAUGAGAGGGGUGUUGCCCAAUCGGGAAUGAGGGAAUCUGGACCCGAAGGCCUCCAUGGUUUCCGACGCCUUUCACGGCGGAUUUUCGGCUAGUUGAAGCCACUCACCACCUGAGAAGCGUCAAAUCGAGAAAACCUAUUUCAAGGAUUUUCGACGGAUCAAUGGUGACUUGAGCUAUUUCCCGACUGAAUUGAACUUUGACCCAUGUAUGAAAGUUGUUCCUCUCAUUGAGAUCUUCAUUCCUGCAAAAUUUGGGAAUUUUUGGAGUUGUUGAAUUUUUCGGCAAGUCGUGGCUGCCAGUCGGCGGCGACGGUGGCGCGUGGCCUUCUGGGCCGCCGCUUCAUGGAGGUUUGCACGACGGCGCGUGGGGGGAAACCCGAGAUCCCUUCUUAGGUUUUUCAAUGUGCCGAAUCCGAAUUCGCUGUCCGUUUUCCCAAAUUCUAUCGUUUAUGUAUAGUUUUACUAAAUGGUUCCUAAUUGUGUUUAGAUGUGCGUUAAUAGGAAGCGACACCAUUCUCGCUAGUUCAAGCUGCUCUCGGGCAAUGGAAAACUUAUGAGUGGACCCCUUCUUAACUUGCAUGUUUUUAUAAAAUAUUAGGCUUGUAUUCACGAAAGACAUGAUUUCAUGAUUUUACGCUUUAUGCAUUAAUUAUGAUUUAUUCAAAUUGCUUUUAUGAAAUAUUUAUGAUUUAUCGAAAUUAUGUUUUACUAAAGGCUAUGAAUUAUUAGAUUCUCGUUUAUGAAGUUCUAGGGAUUUACGAAUAUGAUUUAUUUUACGGAUUUAUGAGUAUGUACUAUCUUGGAUUGAUGAAAUGAGACUUUGAGGUUUUGAGUUUUGGAUUUGGAUAUGAGUUUUUGAGAUAUGUUUUUGGUGCUUAUCUAGUGGGUUAUCAUACAACACAUCCACACAACACGGGUAUGUAGAUGUCUAUGGCCAUAGGGCACAAUUGAUGAUAUCUAUGUAUAUAUUUCUUCUCCUGUGUAACCCAGAGUCGUACAACUUCACCUUUGGAUGAUGGGGCCUACCAUGUUUCUUCAGUAGCGUAACCCAGUGUCGUACAACUUCAUCUUUGGGUGAUGGACAUGUAUUGCCUUCGGCCGAAUGAAGAGUUAAUGAUAUUGAUGACAUACCCCUAACUUCACUGAUGAAACUAUUGUCGAAUAGCUUCACUAGACACGGCUAGUGUCGGUGUGUGAUGUUAUAUAUAUUCUCUUCUCUGGCGUAACCCGGAGUCGUACAGCUUCACCUUCGAAUAUGUGACUAGGGCUCAACAUGAAUAAUGAUUAAGGAAGCAUGGCGAGAUGAAUAGGCAUGAGCAUCGUGUCUUAAUCACCAUGGCAUGACAUGUUUUUAAAUAUAUUCCUCGUUGAUCCCGUGCCUUGGCAUGUAUUUGGGCUUGAAUGUAGGCUUUGCAUGACAAUUGGUCUUUGAGACUUGGUUGGAUUGAUGUGUGACAUUUUUGGACCCCAACACUAUGUUAAGUUGCUACGAAAAAUUUCCCAAUUUCUCAGCUUUUAGUUAUGUUAGUUUAUAAUUGCAACAACUUUUUUGAGUGUUGUAGCAGAUAUGCAACUAUAAAGGCUUCUUUAGAAGUAUAACAGUUUGACUGUGGUUUCAGUCAUUAAGGGGGCCAAAUGCUUAGUGUUAUAUAGAUUGCACUUAUAAGACAAAUACUAUGCAUUGAUUCAUUCAUAUCUUGUUGGAUUUUCAUGUGUUUGUUAAUUUCAUGACAAUCUUGGGGAUAGUGUUUAAUUUGUAAAAUGUGAUUCCCUCUAAUUCUUCAUGGAUAUUAGCUCAUGACAGAAGUUUGUUUAUCAUGGAUUUUAAUGUUUUGAUCUCAUGGCCAUUAAGAGCAACUUUUUUUUAAUAUUCGGUUUCGAGUAUGUUGUAUACAAGUGUUGACUCUAGUGGGAAAAUGUAAGACUAUAUUAGAGUUCCACACUUGUAUGUAACGUCUCCUGUAGAUUAAGGAUUUCAUAGACUGAUUUCAAUAAUACUUGUACGCUAAUAAAGAGAGUGUAUUAUUAGGAUUUUAUAGGUAAAGCAAUCCUGAUACGAAUAGUAAACUUAAUCAAAUAUGAAUACUGAAGUUUAGGUGAUAAAGUCUCGUUCGAGUAGAAUUACAUGAUGGGAAGUUCCCUACUCGAAUUCCACCUCUUUUACUAUAUAACAACGGUCUUUGCUCUCACACUCGAUACACAGAAAUAACCCCUUCUAGGCUUAUUGAAUAGAGCUGUGAAAAGGUGAGUGAAAGAGAGUAGAAGAUCAUUUGUUUUUGCUAUGGAGUUGUCACGAAAUAAGGAGAGAUGCAGACACUCAGAAUAUUGCUCAACAGAGGUUCUAAUUCAGAUAAAUGUUUUUAGUUGAUUAUGAUUUUCCUUCUUACAAGAGUUAGUCCUUAUAUUAAAAUAACAUAAGACUUUAGGGGUAUGAUUUGGAAAAGACCUAUUGGAAAUUGUAAUUUCGUAGGUAGACAAUUGGUUUUAUGAAGUAAUACUAAUAGUAAAAUGUAAGUAAACAAACAUAGAAAAAAAGUCGAAGGUUGAAUAUAGCCAAUUCAAUGCAAGAGAAAAUAAUGUUACGGCAAUCUUUGACCCCCUACAAAGAGAGAAUCUUCCGUAGAGUUGCCACACUAUGAUUGGUGGGUGAGACCAAAUGCGGAGAGUGUUUUGUGUGUACGGGCAUAUGGUAGAGCUGCCACGCUAUUGUUGGUGGGUACGUGUGGGACAAAUGCGGAGAGAGUACUUUGUGUGUGCGGGAUAGUCGCAUGGUCUGGAUGUCCAUAAUGAAGUUUUUCUCCUUACGAUGAAUGGAUAAUUGUCUAUUGUUUUGUUUAUUCAGUUACGUGAUACCUUCUGUUGUAGGGUACUGAAGUGAGGAAACUCACGUUGUUGUUCUCCUCACGGCCAUAUGUGAUGUUUGGGUACAAAUUGUUUGGGUUCUGCAUAAAAGCAUACUUAACAAAAUUAAAGCGCAAAUCUAGUUGGACCAUUUUAGUACCCUAACUCUAACUGAACCAACCACGCAUCUUAGACCUGGUUUGGGAGUGAGGUGCUUAAAAAAAAAGCACCCAUGAAAAAAAGCUGUAAGAGUUUUAGGUGUUUGGUAAACUGAAAAAAAAAAGGCUUAUUUUGGAAGCUGCUGUGAGAAUAAGCUGAAAUCAAAGGAAAAAACUGAAGCUGCUAUUUGCAGCUUUGGAAAACUGGUUUUUUUUCAAAGCACACGGAGCUACAGUGCUCCUUUAAUGAAAAGACCCACUAUUAGACUGCUUUUUUUUCCAAAAGCACUUUUACAAAAAAGUUUACCAAACACUCUGCUGCUUUAUUUCACAGCCGCUUAUUCUCACAGCAGUUUUUUUUCAAAGCACAGCAAUAUCAAACCAGCCCUUAGUUUGCUCCAUUCCUUCAAGUUCGAGAUUUGUGUUACCAACUAAUGCAUCACAAUCUUUCCAAAAAAUAAAAAAAAUAAAAAAAACUAAUGCAUCACAAUAUAUAAGACAUUUUAUUCAAAGAUGAGGACGGACUACAAAGAAAUUCUUUCUUGCAUCCAUCUGCAGGAAACUUUAUUCAAGGUUGUCGUAAAAAAUACAUAAUUAAAGUGACAUGAUAAGUUCUACAAGCUUAUUCAAGAAUUUGUAGGAAGAACCACCUUUCCUCAAAGAAACUUCUAUUUUCUCUUUCAAAUCCUUGGCCCUAACCCGCAUCACUUCCCCAUCAACAUCUACCAUCAGUUUCCGGACAGCUCUCUCAAUCUCUCCUCUCUCUACCUCAUUGUCUAAAUGUAGCCCUACUUUCCAUACUUGGCCAACGUACCUUGAAUGCACCUUCUGAUCGCCAAAAGACGGCAGGCAUAUCAUUGGAAUCCCUUCGGACAAACUUUCUAGCGUUGAGUUCCAACCGCAGUGGCUCCAAAACCCUAUGAUUGCGCGAUGGGACAAAACUUCCCUCUGGGGUACCCAUUUUACAAUGCGACCACGUUCUCCAAUCGCUUCUAUGAAACCUUGAGGCAAUAGCUCAAUCCAAUCUGAACCAUUCACUGAGCCAGGUCUGAUUACCCAUAAGAAAGGCUGCUUGCUGUUAGCCAAUCCCCAAGCCAUUUCGGCAAGCUCUUUCUCACUGAUGGAUGCUACACUUCCCAAGCUUACAUAGAUAACCGCAUUGUUAGAUUGCUUAUCGAGCCACCCAAUGCAGCUUGUGUCCUCUUCUAGUAAGCUACUAGAAGCUGCAGCUUCAAUCUUGUGAAGAGGACCUAUGGAGAAGAUUGGAACUGGGCAUUGUUGCUGGAUCUGUGCUAGUGAUGAUUGCUCAAGACAAUCAGUAGUGUUCCAAACGAUUGCUGAUGCUGUCUUAACAUUGUGUGCAUUAACGACUAGUUCCGAGUACUUUUCUAAUGAGUCAAAGUUGUUGGUGGGCAGAUCCUUCAACCUGAGGGGAUCAAAAUCGGGCAGCGGCCUCAGUGACUGAGAGUCUGCAAUCCAACAGUUUUGUUUUCUUAGUUAUAUGCAAGAAAAACGAACAUAGAGUCUGUACUCUGAUUAAGAAAUAUAUAUGACACAUACCUGGGAAUGGGAUGUGACCUUUUGAAUGAAGCUGUAGUAGAGCAGUACGAGCUUGAAAAUUGGUAACGCUGGUAGUUCGUAACAUGAUGUUUGGGAUGUUUAGAUCCUUAGCUACAGCUUCAGUGAAGUACAUAAAGUCAUCAUAGAUAACGCAGGUGAUUUUGUUCUCGGGUUCCUGUUCCAUAACUUGAGUCAAGCGUUGUCGGAAACUCGCUUUGCAGUUGGCAUUUAUAGCCAGCAGAAUGGCUAUUGCAUUCCCAGAUGAGAUCUCUUCAGCUGUCAAGCCAUCUUGUAUUGGAAAGAAGGUGAAAUCCGGGUGGUUUGAAGGGUUGGGGGAGUUGAACUGGGUGUGAAUAACAGUGAUGGAAAAGCCCUUUGAGUGAAGGAAGGAACCCAGCUGAAGCAUUGGAUUUAUGUGACCUUGGUAUGGACAUGGGAAUAAGACCAACCUGGUACUCUGUGUUUUCUUUUCCAUCUCCAUUCUUCCCUCUUUCUCUUCUCUCUUAGAGAGACGCAUACACACGCCAAAAGGUUAGAGUGAUUGGAUUUCUAAAUCUUGGACUGCUUCAUUGAAACCCAUACAGCUUUUAUCGAGGAGAGUUAUUAAAAACAUCCUUUUCGUUUUUUUUUCCUUCUGCUUAAGUCCCUAAAUUCAAGCUCUUGAUUAUUCUUUGAUUUAUUCAUUACAAUGACUGAAUGUAAAAUAUGUAUGUAUCUCCGAUUUGCCAUCCCGAUAUCACAAAUUAAUAAUACAAUGCCACAAAUUUUAGUUUCGUCACAUUACAUUAUAUUAUUAGCACGGAAUAUCACGAUGACAUAUAAGAGCAUAUAUAGGCGAUUUUUAUUUUUUAUUUCCAAAUUAGAAGGAUUUGAAAUUGUUGCUAUACUUUAGGAGAGGGGGGGGGGGGUUCAUGUAGUUAGAAAUUUAACACUAUCCACUAAGAUAUCAAAUCACAUGCAAAUGCUUAGGUAGGCGAGUUUCUCGCUAACAAUAUAGCAGUUUUUAACCAUGCACAUGUCACCAUAUUUUUAAUGCAACAUUUAUACCACCUCGCUAUAGAGAUAGGGUGAUCAACAUAUGUAGAAUCCUAUCUUUGUAAGAAAGAUGAUAAGAAUAUGGUAUGAAAAUGUGGUAAAAGUAUCAUUUAGUUAGUAAAAUUGUAUUUUCCAUUGAACUUCUCUUUUGGAGGAUUCAUAGCAUUUGGUUGGUGGAAUUAUUGAGAUUAGGUUAAGUUUACCUGUCCUUGUUGAAUUAGUAUUCCUACUGUUAUAUUGUUAGACAAGGGGAAUCCAAGAAGCCGUGUGUCUUCAUCGCUUUAGAGAAUAGGAUAAGUUACUUGUCAUUGUUGAAUUAGUAUUCCUUCAAUAACUAAAGUUUGUUUUUUUUGUCUUUUUUUGAGAAAAGGUACGUGUUGAAUUAGUAUUCUUUCAAUACCUAAAGUUUUUUUUUCUUUUAUUUUUAUUUUGAGAAAAGGUACUAUAUUCAUUAACGAUUGGAGUACGUACAAUUAAUGAGGAUAUAAUGCAUACAUUGGACCUUAAUAAAAAUUUUGCCAAGGAUUUCAACUCGAUUGAAGAAAAAAAAAAGUGUCCCACACCAAACAAAUAAGGAAUUACUAUCCUCAAAGAGAUGAUCCAUAAUUACAUCAGGAGGUUCUUCAAAUCAAAAAGUAGGAUUAUCAUAAGUCAGACUCAUUCGUGCUAAUUUAUGCACCACUUUAUUCGUCUCUUUCCCUCUAAAACCAAUUUUUCAUUGGGGCAAGGCCUUAAUUAAUUGUUGAACGGUUGUUCUAACCUUUAAUUAAUAGGAAAACUAAAGAAAAAUCCAAAAAAUAUCAAUUUUAAUGAAAAGUCCAUGUUAUAAGUAUAGUGAAUAGUACCAGAAAAAUGUAUAAAUGUGGUUUUUCGUAAUUUCAGGAAACAUGUGGUUGUUGAAAUGGAGAAAUGUUGCCUCCUUACACAAUGACACUUGUAUUUACCAUCUUAACUAAAAAAUUCUAAACACCACCAACAAUUAAAAUAUUACUACAAUAAAUCACCUACAUACACAUCCUUUUUUUUUUUUUUUCCAUAAAUCAAUAUUAUAAAGGGAAGUGAUUUCUAAGCUCAAUUUUAUCCAUUAAUUAGUUGGAUCACAUACCUUGCAUGAGCCCACUUUUCGAGCUCAAUUUUGUAAGGGAAAAUGAUUUUCACUCUUUUUAUUUUUAUUUUUUCAAAAGGAAAGGGUAGAAAUCCAAAAGUUGGAGGUCAUAAAUUCAAGCCCCACAGAAUAGUACACACCUUCCAUCCCCAAAAUUCCACACCUUCGUUGCCAAAUCCAAAAGUUGGACCAAAAGUUGGAGGUCUUAACACGCCUCACCUUUUAUAAUUCUGUUGAAGAUGAUUGAUCAAUCAAUUUUUCGUAAUAAAGAUCAUACAAAUGAGCUAAUAAUGAAAAAUUGAAAAGUGAUCGUUUUCAUUUUUGACUUUUAUUUCGCUUAUGAAUUGGCAAAAUUGACGAAAAAAAUAUAAUAAAAUUGUGAAUAAAUUUAAUAUAAUGGUUCAUGAAUUUUUAAGUUGGUUUUGCUUUAUUAAUGUAACGACCUGUCCUCAAAUAUUACGGUUUUAUAAUUUUAAAACACGAAAUUAUGAAAAUGCCCUUCGAGGUAAAAACAUUGACUUUUGUUGACUGCAUUGUCAGGUCACGUAAGAUUCAUUUCCUUAGCGUAUCCUUAUAGUACUCGUCGUUACGAAUUCGUGAACACAAAAAUGAAUGUAAUUUGGAGUUAUAACGAAGAAGUUAUAAACAAACAAAUACAAUGGCAAAAUGGUCAUUUGACUAGUAUUUAGAAGGCUCCAGAUUUGCUGAAGCAAUGUGAUGGAGCCACGUGUGUGGCUGUGAUAGAAAGAAGAAAAGAGAAAAUGAGAGAAAUGAGAGAAUAAGAUGCCCAAUCAGGAAAGAGGGGAAAAAUAGGGAACCAAGGAGAAAAUAAAUAAAGGAAGGAAGGAAGAGGGAAGAAAAGCACCAGAUUAUACUUGACCUAACGACCCAACCCGAUUUAACUGAACUCUCGUGAGUUUUAUGACGAUUUUCCGUCAGUUUUUCGACGAGUUUCUUCGAGCUACCACCUGGAAAAGCGUUUCUGACAUUUCCUCUCUAAUUUCUAUAAAAAAAAAAACCCGCCAAUUUGGCCCUAAUUCAUGACGAUCGAAGCGGACGGCUUCGAGGACACCAAGGCAGCGAUCCUCCACUCCAACAACCUUCACCGUCGAUGACUACCACUAAAAGACUUUUCUUGAGGCCAGGAACAAACCCCAAACCAUUUUGGGGGCAGCGGAUUGACGGAAUAGAUGAAUCAAAGCUCACAUUUUUUAUGGUUUUUCGGCUGAUCAAGGUGGUUUUCAAGUAUUUCCCGGCCGAAUUGGACUUUGGCUUAGGUAUGAAAGUUCUUCCCCUCGAUGAGCUCUACAUUUCUGUAAAAUUUGGUAAUUUUUGGAGUUGGUCAGAAAAUUGGGUUUCCGUUACUGGAAAUCGCAGCGUGCGCCGGCGCGUGGCUUUCCGGACAGCCUUUUCGUGACAGCUCGUGCGGUGGUGCGUUAGGGGGAACCGAGGUCCCUCCUCAAGUUUCUCGACGUGCUGAAUCCAAAUCCGCUUUCCUUUUUCCAAAUUCCAUCGUUUUAGUAGAGUUUACUAAAUGGUCUCUAAUUGUGCUUAGGUGCAUCGGUGGGCAGUGGCUCCAUCCUUGCUAGUGUGAGCAGCUCGUAGGCAAUGGAAAAUCAGCAAGUGGACCCCUUCUUAACUUGUAUGGUUUUAUAAAAUAUAAGGCUUGCAUUUAGAAAAAGUAUGAUUUCAUGAUUUUACGUUUUAUGCAUUAUUUAUGAUUCAUGUUACGGUUUCCGAAUAUGAGAUGAAUUAUGGGAUUUUCAUACAUGGAAUUCUAUGGAUUUACGAAUGUCAAUUAUCAUGUUUUCAUGAGAUGAGGCUUUGUGUUUUAGAGCUCCGAAUUUGAUAUGAGUUUUGAGGUAUGUUUUUGGUGCUUAUCUAGUGGGUUAUCAUACAACACAUCCACUCAACAUGGGUAUGUAUGACACGCCCGACCCUGAUAUUCUCCAAACACCAGGGUAGGCACGUGCAAGGCGACACCUGAAGGUGACCAAGCCAUAUUAUGAUGCAUGAGAACUAGAAAUAAUUAACCGACAUAACUAAAACUUGUAAAUUUAAUUAUAAUGAAUAUGCAUUUAUGGAAAGUGUUCAAAGCAUACAACUAAUCCGAGACAAUAAAAAUGAAUAAUAUAAAAUUGAAUGAACAAAAGGACGGGUUCUACACCGAGAGGACUCGAAGAUGCUGAUGCGGGAGUGCCUUGAUGUCGGGAUUGUACGCCUCGAUUCUAAGUCCUGAGGGGGCGCAAAUCAAAACAUGAGUGGACCAAGUUGGUAUAGAUAGUACUAAAACAGUUAUUCAUUAACGUACUAACCCCCAAAGUUUAUGAAAACUCAAUAGUAUAAUAUGUAAUAGGUUUUCCAAAAACCCUAGCAUGCCAUAAAACCUUCGUAAAACAUAUAUCAUAUAUAGCGUGGUAAGUAGUGGUACCAGUAUUGCCCAAAGGCAUAUAAAACUCUUCAUUCAUCUGAAGGCAUAUAGAACACUUCAUUUAGAAUACUUCCUUCAGAAUACUUCCUUUAGAACACUCCAUUUAGAACACUUCAUUCACCCGAAGGCAUAUAGAACUCUUCCGACCGAAACCAUAUAAAUAUCUUCCACCCGUAGGCGCUACACACACCCGACCGAAGCCAAUAUAAAUAUCAUUCGCCCGUAGGCCCUACACACAUCCGGCCAAAGCCAAUAUAAAUAUCAUUUGCCUGUAGGCUCUACACACGCUUGGCCGAAGCCAAUAUAUAAGUAUCAUCACCCGUAGGCAGAAUAGUGAACACAAGAUAAGCACAAAAAUCAUUAGACAUAAUAUUUCCAAACAUAAGUACAUAUAUCUCAACGGAGUUCAGUAGCCCAAACAUCAUAUCUCAAAACAUCUUCAUAGUAUAUAGUCAUCCAUCAUAUAUACUACAAAGAACGUAAAAACCGAUAAAGUAUGGUAUUCCAAAAUAUUCUCAGUAAAGCAUGAUAUCUCAUAAAUUGUAAAUCUAGUUUACUCAAUAAUGUUUCAUAAAACGUAGCCAUUAAAUCAUGCUUUUCAUGUAUGCAUUUCUAAUAACAAAAUAUGCAUUUUAGAAAUGGUUCACUCACUUUACACCAUUGGUGAAGAGCUGUGCAAACAAGAGAGGACGGAAAUGCCAUAAACAAUUGCACCUAAGCACAUAAAGGUACCAAUUAAUACAUCUCUAUCAUAACGAUUGAAUUUUGAGAAACGGAUUCAAGACAUCGAAAAACAUAAGGAGGACCUCGGGUACCCCCACGUGCCGUCACAAGGUGACGGCUCUGACAGCCACGAGCCGUUGUACACAUCGCCAAACGCCGAGAUGGAUCGCGGGAAAAGUUGUCGUCGCCAUCGCUAGCGCCGCCAUGGACAGCGGAGCACAGUGACUUAAACGGAGGUGCGUGUGCUUCACGCGCCAGUACAAGCCCGCCAUCACGCGUGCCACACGCAGGCCCACGUGCGGACCCACGCGCGACUUGGAGUCCAUGAUCCGACUAGGUUUGGGCCGGAUCUGGUUCCUGGGUUGGGCUUGGUUACUGGGCUGGGUUCAGUGGGUUUUGGGCCUAAACAGUUUCUGGGCUUGGGUUCCUUGGGCCGAAUGCCUAAGCUUGCAUAACCUAAAGGCCUGGUUUCUUUUGGGGUUUUGGGCUUAAGGAAAUGGGUCGGGCUUAGCUGUUUUGGGCUUGUAACCUGACUCAAGGGAUUGGACCAAGGGACCUGGGUUUAUGGGUUUAGGUCAGUUCCAAUUAGGUUUGGGCCGCAAGGUUGGCCUAGGUUCAAUGCGUUUGUUCUGGGUUUGGGCCUAAGACUUAACUUGGAUUUUGGGCUUGGCCGAGUGGGCUGAACUCAAGAUUUGGCGGGGGUAGCUUGGCCCAAUGAUUGGGCCGGGUUAGUGUUUCCGUGUCUGGCCAGGUCCGUUUCCAGGCCAAGUCGGCCGGUUUCGAGGAGGGAGAAAGCUAGUGUUUUCCAGGCUCCGUUCAACCCUAAAAUGUGAUUAACACCUAUCAUGGAAAUACCAAAUUGAAGCCCAAGGAACAAAGAAGACAAUUGUACCUAUUUCAAGACUUGUGGUGCUGAAGUUGAUUAAAAAAUGACCUGGAAGCCACAAGUAUUUUUCAGAAUCUAGGAAAGUCUCCCCGAGUAGUUUUCUGCGUCCAAUGGCUGCCAAAACAACUCAAAAACAUCCCAAACUCACAUAUAAAUACUAACCAAGAGGUUUUAGGAGCUUACCUAUGUCGAGGAUGAAAGAAACUCGCCGGAGUUUAACGAGAAAGGGAAUGAACAGUGGUCUUCGCCACUGUGGUGCACUACGGACUUGUCUUGGGUUUGAGGUUUUGCCUAGAAGGAUUCUAGGGUGGUAGUGGUUUAUGGUGACAUCAUCGUUGUGAUCGUUCUGGGGUCUCUGUGGCUCGGAAAGGGGAGGUUAGUGAAGAGAGAGACUUGUGAGAGAGGGAGAUGAGAGAGGUUCGAGAGUGUGUACAUAGGGAAAGAAAAGAGAAAUGAGAGGAAAGAAAAUGAUUGGGCCGGUGGACAAAAUCAAAGGGUGGGCCCCCUUGGGCACACCAAUUAAGGCCAUAAAAUAAUAUUUCAAACAAAUAUCCCACAACCAAAAUGAAAUUACAACAUUGCCCUUUCAUUCCAUAAAUUCCGGGAUGGGUCGUUACAAUCUACCCCCAUUACGAAAUUUGAAAUAAUGUACUAUACAUAAAUACUCAAAAAUAGGAAGGAGAAUAUAUGCAUAAGGAAGAAAUCAAGUCAAAGUGGUUGCAUCAAAGAUAAUAUGCCACACUGUUGCGAACGGGUUUUCAAAUCCUCUUUCAUGCCUCAAAGCUCUUACCUUCUUCCCCCAUCAGUGUAAAAGUAGAAACAUACCUUAUAAAGAUAUAAAGUCGAAACUAUAUAAUAACAUAUGGUAAAAAAUGUCACAUCCCGCCCCGGGGUCUACCAUAUCCCGGGCCCACUUCACCACCGUAGCAUAAUAUUGUCCGCUUUAGGCCCCGACUACACCCUCAUGGUUUUUUUUUUGGGAACUCACACGAGAACUUCCUAAUGGGUCACCCAUCAUGGGAUUGCUCUCGCGCACUACUCGCUUAACUUUGGAGUUCCGAUUAACUCCAAAGCCAGUGUGCUCCUAAAAAGCCUCGUGCUAGGUAGAGAUGAGAAUAUACAUAUAAGGCUUACAGGAUCCACUCCCUUGGGCGAUGUGGGAUGUUACAAUCCACUCCCCUUAGGGGCUCGACAUCCUCAUCGGCACACUUCCAGCCAGGGAUUGGCUCUCAUACCAAAUUGUCACAUCCCAGCCUGGGUCAUCACCAUAUCCCGGGCUCGACUCCACUGUAGCAUGAUAUUGUCCGCUUUGGGCCUUGACUACGCCCUUACGGUUUUGUUUCUGGAAACUCACACGAAAACUUCCGAGUGGGUCACCCAUCUUGGGAAUGCUUUCGCCCGAACUUGCUUAACUUCGGAGUUCCGAUGGCACCCGAAGCCAGUGAGCUCCCAAAAUGCCUCAUGCUAGGUAGGGAUGAGAAUAUACAUAUAAGGAUCACUCCCCUAGGCGAUGUGGGAUCUUACAAUCCACCCCCCUUAGGGGUCUGACGUCCUCAUCAGUACACUUUCGGCCAGGGAUUGGCUCUGAUACCAAAUUGUCAUAUCUCGACCCGGGGUCCACCACAUCUCGAGCCCGUUCCACCACCGUAGCACGAUAUUGUCUGCUUUGGGCCCUGACCACGCCCUCACGAUUUUGUUUCUGGGAACUCACACGAGAACUUCCCAAUGGAUCACCCAUAAUGGGAUUGCUCUCGUGCGCUACUCGCUUAACUUUGGAGUUCCGAUGAACUCCAAAGCCAGUGAGCUCCCAAAAGGCCUCGUGUUAGGUAGAGAUGAGAAUAUACAUAUAAGGCUUACAAGAUCCACUCCCCUGGGCGAUGUGGAAUAUUACAAAAAACAUGUACGUAUAAUACGAUAACGUCAAAAUAUAUAUAUGUAUUAACAUAGUGGUUGAAAACUCGUACUGGAAUCAAAACCGAAAAUGGAAGUGGGUCUUACCCAAGCAUUCGUAACGUCACGUACUCCAAGAACAGAUGUGUCUUUGGAUCAAGCCUCAACAAUUACUAAACAGUAACAACUAUCGUAGUCUGGUCUACUUGUUGACUUGCUUAACGAACCCAACGAAUAUGUCAUUGAUAUUACAGUCGACUGCCCGAGAUAUCGAUAACACUUUGUAGUGUCGAUAAGCAAGUAGUAAUUUCCUAAGGGUGUAAACAUACCAAUUUGUCCAAUCCCAAGUCAACAACAACACAAACACAUAGUUUCUCAAAUCAUAAAAUCAAACAUCUGAAACCAAUUCGCAAAACUCUAUUGUCUAACCAGUGCUGCUAAUAGAAUCUAACAUACCAAGUAUCAAAUAGUACCAUCCACAAACUAAAAAUAAAACUAUUGUCGCAACUACUCCAAGAGAUCGGUAAAAAAUCUAAUCAUUCCGAAACCAUAAACCAAAUGAACGCAACAUGUCUUUCAAGAUCUAGAUAUUUCGUUCAAGAUUGUCCAACAGUCUGCAAAUAAAAAUGUGAUAUAGGAUAAUAAUUUAGUACUCAAGGUCUUUACGCAAACUUCACAAAACUCAUAAGUGGAACGAGAAUCACGAUGAGGUACAAAAGUGACGAUACACCGAGAUCCAGAACAAUGUAAUUCACAACGUCUAAGCAAGUUGAUUCAUUGAGAAAUUUCUCUUGGAUUUAGUGAAUAGCUAUGCCGAGAACGCUAAGUGAACACCCACAAAUUUAAGAGUCAAAACAAGUCCAACAAAGCUAGGAAAGAAGAUAAUUAGAGUGAAUGCGUAGCUUUGAUGGAAGGAUACGUGUAAGUACCUAACUCGAUUAUGUGGUGGUAAGUCGAGAUGGUUGAGUAUGGACUCGACUCGGUGGUAGUCUAAAGUAAUCUGAUUGACGGGAACUCAAAUUUUUUUUCCCUAUUCCAAAAUUUCACAACUACUUGUUACAACGAUAACUCAAGGAUAUUCACACACCAGUGGUAAUGAUUCACUCGAUAAGAUAUUAAUGGGUGAUUGAAUGACUGGUGGUUUCGGAUAAAACUUUCGAAUCUAAAUGGUUCUCCUGAAUAGUCUCUCUACUAUAGAAAAGAUACGAAGUGAAAUGAUAUGAAGUGUUAUAGGGUAAACACGAACUCAAAGUUAACUACAAUGCUUUCUAGGAUUUGGAGGUGAAUCUGGGAUUACGAUUGCAACCGAUGUAAAUUGAGACGUCAGUAUAAAGAAAUCUAGAGUGAAGAAUUUUUCCAAACGAUUGAAGUAUAGUUCUCGCAAACUGGUAGGUAGUACGACGAGUGAGUUGAUCAACAAAUCCAAAACAUCAUCAUAGUCUCCACGUGUACAAGAUGGUUUGUACCGAAAAUCUAUGGUGACAUUCAUCUAUUCCCAUUCGCAUCCUUAAUGGGUCCCCAACAACCCAAGAAGGACAAUCUUGGGAAUUUCUGAUUAAGAGCAUCAUUUACGGCAGUUGCCUGACCAUGAUGGUACUCAAAGUUGCAAUCAACUCAUCGAUGAGUUCCAUCCACUUCAUUUGUCUCUGACUCAACUAUUUCUGUGUACAAACACACUACAACUUCUUUGGUAAAAAAGGAUGUACCAUUUCUCGUUGUAGAGAAAACAUCACCAGAUUUUAUAGCAAGGAAGGUCAUUAUCAGUUCUAGGUCAAGGAUAAAAUGGUUCACAUCAUGCAGUUCCAAUCGUCAACACGCGUGACUCGAUACUUAGUUGUCAAAAAAUUCGUUCAUCGUCAGCAUUGCAACAAGAUUGACUGGUUGCUUAGCUUAAAAAGCUCAAAGAAUAGUUAAAAACUGCUAAUAGGAUUUGACAUGGCCAAAGACAUUUCGUAUUUCUCAACACCAUGUGAGGAUUUUUAAUUUCCAACGGUCGUAACCCCUUUUCAGAAAUUGAUAAGAAUAACGUCUACGACCAAAGAAUCUCCCAAGAAAAGUAUCUACACUAAAAUACAAACAACGCUUGAAGAAUUUGACGUACAGCUGACUAUCGAUGUUUAAUGAACUUGACCUCAUGGUUGGAGUAAGCAAGAAGGUUAUCGAUAUAGUAGUCGCUGAGAAUUGUUCUAAAGAUCCACAUGAAUUUCCUUAGUGGGAACAAGUCAGAGGACAUUGAUUCAAUCCCACUAACUAACACUUACUAGACUUUGCAACGUCUAAAGCUUACUCGCCAAACUCCAACACGCACUUCGAAUGUCUCGAACAAUUUCCAUAUAAAUAUGAUUCCACCUGCCACUCUUAGGGAACGCAUGUCGCAGAGUGACAUCACUGAUUCAGAUCUUCCCAAUUUCAAACCACUUAGAUUUUUCCGUUUCACUACACUCUUGUGUAGAUACGACUCUGCCCGCCAUUCCUAAGGAACGCAUAUUGCAGAGUGGCAUUGCGAUCUCUGAUCUUCAACUGAGAUUUCUAAUUCACGUCACUUCAAUGUAAAAACCGACUCUGCCCGCAAUUCCUAAGGAAUGCAUGUUGCAGAGUAUCGGUCCGAUGUCGAAAGUCAUCCAACAAUUUGACAUGUCAUCGAUGAGGCACAAUCCCGACACGAAAUUUCUUAUUCUCCAAUAGGAUGUGACUAUUCACUUAGAAUGAAGGUUGCACAGCCAUGCUAAAUGACAACAAAUCCGGAAGUUAUGAAAUCCAAAUGAUGUCAUGAUCAACACACUACUACCGUAAAAGAAGAUCUUAAGUAUGCUCUGAACAAACCACGCUCUGAUACCAAAUUGACACGCCUAACCCUGAUAUUCUCCAAACAUCAGGGUAGGCAAGUGCUAGAAGACACCUGAAGGUGGCGAAGCCAUAUUAUGAUGCAUGAGAACUAGAAACAAUUAACCGACAUAACUAAAACUUGCAAAUUUAAUUAUAAUGAAUAUGCAUUUAUGGAAUGUGUUCAGAGCAUACAACUAAUCCGAGACACUAAAAAUGAAUAAUAUAAAAUUGAAUGAACAAAAGGAUGGGUCCUAUACCGAGAGGACUCGAAGAUGCCGAUGCGGGAGUGCCUUGAUGUCGGGAUUGUACGCCUCAAUUCUAAGUCCUGAGGAGGCUUAAAACAAAACAUGAGUGGACCAAGUUGUUAUAGAUAAUACUAAAACAGUUAUUCAUUAACGUACUAACCCCCAAAGUUUAUGAAGACUCAAUAGUAUAAUAUGUAAUAGGUUUUUCGACCCAUAAAACCUUCGUAAAACAAAUAUCAUAGUGUGCUAAGUAGUGGUAUCAGUAUCACCUGAAUAUAGAACUCUUCAUUCGCCCUAAGGUAUAUAGAACACAUCAUUUAGAACACUUCAUUUAGAACACUUAAUUUGUGAUAUCCCGUCCCCAGAAUUUCACUAUUCAUUACGUAUCUCGUAAUUUAAAUUCGUAUUUCACGUUUACUUUAUCUUUAUUAGUUAAUUUUAAUUCCGUAAAGUUUGGGAAUUAAAUCGAAUAGUUAUCGGGUUUGAAUUUUUGUAAUUAAUCUUUAAAAUUUGUUGACCUUUCGAGCACAAUUAAUGUUUUCGAAUAGAUUUCAAAACCAUGAACGCAUAGGUGAAAGCCGUUUGCGAAUCGAGAUUAUAACGGAAGAGUUAUGGGUGUUCAGAUUCGUGUUUUAUUUUAAGUGAAUUCUAACCUUGUGGGAGGGAUGACUAAUUAGACUAAGGGCAAGGAAGCCAUGUGAGUGGCUGGGAAGAAAAAAAAAAGAAAAAAAAAAGCUGCCUAAUGGCAGUGGGGAGAAAGAAAAAGAAAAGGGAGGUGCAGAGGGAAGAGGGAGGGCAUUGGCUAUCCAAUCAGAGAAAAAGGGAUGGAUCAAUCAAGAGAGGAAUGAAUGAGAGAAAGGAGAGGGGAGGAAAUAGAGGGGAUCCAACUAAAAACCCAGCAAAAUCGGGCCACCAUGACCCGUAGCCUGAUCGGUGAGAAUGAUGUUUGCCGAUGCCUUUUACGACAUUUUCUCCAACAAAUUGAAGCCACACAUCACCUAGAAUUACCCUAGCAUCCUUUACCCCUCCAAUUUCAUCAAAAAUCCUAGUUAAUUGGGCCUUAAUUCGUGAUGAACUCCCCGACGGGUUCUUGAGGUGCAUGGCGGUGAUUUGCCAUUCCCGAAGCCAACUCCAUCAAUUACCACCACCAAUAGGCUCCCCUCAACCUUAGGAACAAAGCCCAAGCAGUGGUGGAGGCGUCGGAGCGAGUAUGGAGAUCGAAUCGAAGCAUACCCAAUUCUAGGGUUCCGGCGGUUCGUGGGCGAUUUCAGUUGUUUCCCAGACGAAUUGGACUUUGGCCCAGGUAUGAAAUUUGUUCCCCUCAUUGAGUUCUACUUGGCUGUAAAAUUUGGUAUUUUUGGAAAUAGUUGAUUUUUCCGACGAGUUGAGGUGGUCAGCCGCCGCAUGUGGCGGCGCAUGGGCCGAGACCCCACCUACCCUUUCUAGACUAAUUUGGAUACCUUGAUUCCAUAUGUGAUUUCUGAUUGACGAAAUUUCGUCAUAUGACUAUAAUUUUGAUAGAGAUCGCCACUUGGUCAUUCUAUGAAUCGACGAUCCGACCGUUGGAUUGUCACCAAACUUUAAUACAUAAUAGUACGUAAUAUUUAAGGACAAUAUGAACUUAUGGAUUGGGAAUCCAAUGUAUGGAUCUUCCUGAAUUGGAUUCGUACGUUUGUAAAAAUCAAACGUUGACCGCCACUUGAAUUUGCGAUGAGCGGAGAUCCAACCGUUGGAUCGUUCCGAAAUUUUAGAAUAUUGUUCUAGAAGAUAAAUGAGACCCUUAGGAAGUUACAGAUUUGACAUCCAUGGGCGAAUGUUUCAGAUUGACUUGUAUAGGGUUGUGGAUUCCACCGUUGACAGAGACUUGACUAUAUGUUACGAAUUGAUCUUAAAUAUUAAAAUUAGUAUUACUAGAGGCUAUGUAUGGCUUAGUGGGCCUAUAUUGGCGAGUGAGUUAUUCCAUAUAGUAUAUACAUCGGUUUACUUGCAUGGGAUGUCAUAUUGUGUUAUAUAUGUGUUUAUUUAUCGGGUAAAUUACAUUUUACCACCUUAGGUUUGAGAUCUAUUUCAACCUCAUACAACAUCUUCAAAAUAUUUCACUUUCAUACCUCAAGUACUAUUUUAUUUCAAUAUAAUACAUCCGUUACAUUUUCCAUCCAUUGUUCCAUUAAGAGCUGACGUGACUGCCACAUUUAUGCCAUGUGGCUACAUCAUUUGUGCCACAUGGCUAAAAAUUAAAUUUUUAUGCAUUUAAAAACAAUUAAUUAAAAAAAAUGCCCAGAACCUCAUCCCUUCCCCUUCCCCUUCCCCGCAACCCCCCACCUCUCUCUUCGACAAUCUCCAGCUUUUCGUCUUCAGCCUCCGCCUUCUUCCAAUACCAUCAGGACCACCACUACUAUAAUCAGCAGAUCCACAACCACCACCACCACCACUAAUCAGCGUCUGUCCGGCCUUCUCCUCUCCAUCUCAGUCUGUCCGGUUCUCCAUCGACCAUCACUCGAUCUCUCCCAACCAUCAUUCGAACUGAUCCAUCUUCAUUUUAAAGAUAACACGACCAAUUUUGAUGCUGAAAAAGACCUGUAUGUGCUCGCCGACAUCGCAUCUGGGAUCGUUUCGCUGCAGCCUCCAUAAAAACCAGGGAGAGAGUUAAAACAUCGGAUUUUUCCCAUCGAACAAGUUGAAUAUGCGUAAAUUCACUAAUUCACUAUGAUGAAAUCAUUGGUUCAAAUCAGUGGAGUCGAAGGCGAGUGGGUGAAACGAGCCUUGACCGCCCUGAUUCGGCCUUGUGCUCACCAGCAGCGACAGAGAGCUGGGUUUCAAUUGAACUUCCAUGGCGACCCGCUCUACUCGAAAAUCGUCAAAGUGGUGGAUGUGGUUCGGAGAACUCGGGGAGAAAUCAGACCUCGGGGAACCAACUGGACUGCGGCGGCAGGUUUGGGCUGGGCCUUCUAGGCCAAGGAGUGGUGGCAGGAGGUAAGGUAGAAGGAGAGAAGGAAGAGAGUGAUUGCCCAGAUCAUUUUUUCAAUUUUUUUUUUUGCUGAGUUGGCAUGACGUGGCAGAUGGAUAUCCACGUGUGCAAGUUUUGGAGGGAGUGGGCUGACAUGUAAUGGGGUCUACUACUGCCACAUUAGCUCUUAACUGACUAAUUGAUGGAAAAUGUAACGGAUGUAUUAUAUUGAAAUAAAAUAGUAGAUAAGGUAUGAAGGUGAAAUUUUUUGAAGAUAUUGUAUGAGGUUGUAAUAGACCUCAAACAUGAGGUGGUAAACUGUAAUUUACCCUUAUUUAUCUUCUUGACAAUACGAAAGAUAUGUAUGUUAACUGUUAUGACAUUGUGAGCCUAAAAUCCUAUUAGAAGUGUUAUGUAGAACAUAUAGGCUUAAGUGACAUAGUAGUUAGUGGUCAUGAGAAGUUGAUAGUUCAGGUUCCUACGUUGUAAAUCAUAGGGAUUGAGGUAGGGGUAGAUUGUGAGUUGAAUUGAUUACACCAGGUAGCAGUGGUACUUGGAUGGUCCUGCUUGGUAUAUCCGCGAUAGGGGACCAUACGUAUUCUAGGGGUGAUCAUACUUGGUAUAUCCGUGAUGGGUGAUCACCGCCUGCACGGUUAGACUAUGCUUAUGGUCCUGCUUGGUUUAUCUACAAUGGGGGACCAUACGCAUUCUAGGGGUGAUCAUGCUUAGUAUAUCCGCGAUGGGUGAUCACCGCCUGCAUGGUUAGACUAUGCUUAUGGUCCUGCUUGGUUUAUCCGUAAUAGGGGACCAUACACAUUCUAGAGGUGAUCAUGCUUGGUUUACCCAUGAUAGGUGAUCACUACCUAGAGUUAGGACGUGGUCCUGCUUGGUAUAUCCACGAUAGGGGACCACACGUUAGACUAUGCCUAUGGUUCUGCUUGGUUUAUCCGUAAUAAAGGACCAUACGCAUUAUAGGAAUGAUCAUGCUUGGUAUAUCCGAUAGGUGAUCACUACCUAGAGAUAUAGGGUACAAUCAUGCUUUGUAUAUCCGCGAUAGGGGAUUGUUAGGAGUGAUCAUGCUUGGUAUAUCAGCGAUGGGUGAUCACUGCCAGCACGUUUAGAUUAUGCUUAUGGUGGGGGGCCAUAUGCAUACUAGGUGUGAUGAUGAUUAGUUGUACUUGGUACAUUUCGAUAGGUGAUCCUAUUUUGGUUGGAUUUUGUUGAGUGGUCCGAAAUCUCUACUCUUGCUCAUUUCCAUAAGUUAGACUAGAACCCUGGAUUUGAGUGAAUGUGAAUUACCCACAACAGACCUUGUGAAUAUAAAUUAGAAUUAUCAGGUUAUUACUUGGAAUCCAGGUAGGGAAUUAUGUAGAAUUCCUUUAUUAAAUUUUAUGCACGGUUAUGUGAUCUAUUUGAUUAAUUAACGUAAUUAAAUGUUAAUAUCGUGUCUCCUUGAUUCAUGGAAUGGGUUACUUGAGGUGAUUGUGGAAGAUGUUGAAUAUGAUUAUUAUUAAUACGAUUAGAUCAGUGAUCAAUAUGACUAGAGGACUCUACUAUGUUUUGUUAAUUCUUUGAUAUAUUACAUGCUAUGAAUUGCGAUUUUAUGUUGAAACAUAAUGAUUUAUAUGAUGGAUGAAAUAGAAACCUUGAUUGUCAUAUGGGUUUGUUAUGUAGCUUGAAUCAAAUAAUUCAUGUUUGUCAAGUCUAAAUGUUUGAUUGAGGAAUGCUAUGCCUUUCGGCUUGAACGGACUGUGAUAUAUGUCGAGUUGUAGCGAAUGACGAACUAAGAAUGACUUGAUCAUUGUUUAGGGUACGUAGGCAAUCUAACGAGGUUAGAUGCAGCCAUAAAGUAUACAAAAAAAUUACUAUGUGAUUUGAUUCUCGAGUUAUGCUUUGCCAUACCCCGGAGGCAGGGUAAGUUAAAGAUACGGGUAUUUGGAGACGUUACAUGUCGAUCUUUGAUGAACGUUGGAAUCGGGGUGUGACAUCAUUUAGAACACUUCCUUCAGAACACUUCAUUUAGAACACUUCAUCCGGAACACUUCAUUCACUCGAAGGUAUAUAGAACUCUUCCGACAGAAACCAUAUAAAUAUCUUUCGCCUGUAGGACCUACACACGCCUGUCCAAAGCCAAUAUAAAUAUCAUUCGCCUGUAGGCCCAACACACGCCCGGUCGAAGCCAAUAUAUAAAUAACAUCGCUCAUAGGCAGAAGAGUGAUCACUAGAUAAGCACAAAAAUCAUUGAACAUAAUAUUUCUAAACAUAAGUACAUAUAUCUCAACGGAGCUCAGUAGCUCAAACAUCAUAUCUCAAAACAUCUUAAUAGUAUAUAGUCAUCCAUCAUAUAUACUACAAAGAAUGUAAAAAUCGAUAAGGUAUGGUAUUCCAAAGUAUUUUCAGUAAAGCAUGAUAUCUCAUAAAUUGUAUUUCUAGUUUACUCAAUAACAUUUCAUAAAAUCUAGCCAUUAAAUCAUGUUUUUCAUGUAUGCAUUUCUAAUAAAAAAAAUAUGCAUUUUAGAAGAGGUCCACUCACCUUACACCGUUGGCGAAGAAAACAAGAGAGGACGAAAAUGCCAUAAACAAUUGCACCUAAGUACAUAAAGGUACCAAUUAAUACAUCUCUAUCAUAACAAUUGAAUUUCGGGAAACAGACGUCAUAAACGGAUUUAGGACGUCGAAAAACAUAAAGAGGGACCUUGGGUACCUCCACACUACUGCGCAUGUGCCCUCACGCACUGCCUAGAUGGGUCACUGGAAAAGUCGUUGUCACAGCCGCUGCCGCCGCCCUGGACAGCGGAGCACAGUGUCUUUGGCUGAGGCACAUGUGCUCCACACGCCGGCAUAGGCCUACCCUUAAGUGCGCCUACGCGCAGACCCAUGUGCGGCCUGGAGUCUGGGAUUCAACCAGGUUUAAGCCGGAUCCAGGUCCUAGGUUGGGCUUGUUUACUGGGCUGGGUUCAGUGGGUUUUGGGCUUAAAGGGCUUUUGGGCUUGGGUUCCUUAGGCUGAAGGCCCAAGCUUGCAUGGCCCAAAUGCCUGGUUCUUUUUGGGUUUUUGAGCUUAGGGAAUGGGCUGGGCUUAGCUGUUUUAAGCUUAUAACCCAGCCCAAUGGAUUAGACCAAAGGACUUGGGUUUCUGGGUUUGGGUCAGUUCCAAUUAGGUUUGGGCCGAGGGUUUUGGACCGCAAGGUUGGCCUGGGUUCAAUGGGUUUGUUCUGGGUUUGGGCCUAAGACUUAACUUGGGUUUUAGGCUUGGCCUAGUGGGCUGGACUCAAGAUUGGCUCGGGUAGCUUGACCCAACAAUUAGGCCAGGUUAGUGUUUCCGAGUCGGGCCUAGCCCAUUUCCAAGCCGAGUCGGCCAGUUUUAAUGAGGGAGAAAGCCGGAGUUUGCUCAACCCCAACAUGUGACUAACACCUAUCAUGCAACAUACCAAAUUGAAGCCCAAGGAACAAGGAAGACAAUUGUACCUAUUUCAAGACUUGUGGUGGCCGGUGUUGGCUGGAAAGUGGCCUGGAAGCCACGGGUAUUUGUCGGAAUCUGGGAAAGUCUCCCCAAGUAGUUUUCUGCGUCCAAUGGCCACCAAAACAACUCAAAAACGUCCCAAACUCACAUAUAAAUACUAUCCAAAAGGUUUCAAGGGAUUAUCUACAUCGAGGAUGAAAGAAACUCACCGGAGUUCAACGAGAAAGGGAAUAAACAGUGGUCUCCGCCAUUGUGGUGCACUACAGACCUGUCCUGGGUUCGAGGUCUUGCCUAGGAGGAUCCUAGGGUGGUAGUGGUUUGUGGUGUCGCCGUCGUUGUGGUCUUUCUGGGGUGUCUGUGGCUAAAAAAAAGAGGUGAAUGAAGAGAGAGACUUGUGAAAGGGGGAGAUGAGAAAGGGGUCCAAGAGUGUGUACACGGGGAAAGAAAAAGAAAGGAGAGGAAAGAAAAAUGAUUAGGUCGAGGGACAAAAUCAAAGGGUGGGCCCUCUUGGGCACACCAACUAAGGCCAUAAAAUAAUAUUUCAAACAAAUAUCCCACAACCAAAAUGAAAUUACAACAUUGCCCUUUCGUUCCUUAAAUUCUGGGACGGGUCAUUACAAUGUAGACGUCUAUGGCCAUAGGACAUAGUUGAGGAUAUCUAUGUAUAUAUUUCUUCUCUGGCGUAACCCAGAGUCAUACAGCUUCACCUUCCGGUGAUGGUACCUACCAUGUUUCUUCACUAGCAAAACUCAUUGUCGUACAACUUCAUCUUCGGGUGAUGGACAGGUACUGCCUUCGGGCGAAUGAAGAGUGAGAUAUUUAUGCCAUACCCCCAACUUCACUGGCAAAACCAGUGUCAGACAGCUUCACUAGCCACGGCUAGUGUCGGUGUGUGAUGUUAUAUGUUUCUUCUCUGGCGUAACCCAGAGUCGUACAGUUUCACCUUCAGGUGAUGGGGCCUACCAUGUUUCUUCACUAAUGUAACCCAAUGUCGUUUAGUUUCACCUUCAGGUGCUAGACAAAUAUUACCUUCGGGCGACUAUGAUAUCCCUAAAGAGUACAGUAUUGAUGAGAUUUAUGGAUUUGCCUUCGGGCGGCGAUAGCAGCAUUAUUGAGCAUUGUUUUACACGUACAUGUUUUACGAAUGUUUUCAUGGCUUAGAGUUUUCAAAAAACUACUAUGUAGUAUUAUUUAUGUAUGUUUUCAAAACAGGAGGUUAGUAUGUUCAUAAAGAAAAUGGUUUCUUAUUAUUAGUAUUAUUAUAAACUUUGGUCCACUCACAUUUCUGUUUUGUGCCCUCUCAGGAGUUAGAAUUGAGGCAUUCGAUCCCAACGUCAAACCAUUUCCGCAUAGGUAUCUUCGAGCCCUUUAGGUGUAGAACCCACUUUCUUGGUAAUCCCAUUUAUUUCAUAAUGAUUCUUUUGCAUUAUUCUUGAUUAGUUGUAUGCUCUAAAUACAGUUCUGCAUUAGUAUAUUUCUUUUUAAUCACAUACUUUAAUUUGCACGCAUGUAAAAGUGGUUUCAUCACCCUCGGGUGUCAGCCAACACGUGUCUAUCCUGGUAUUUGAGAAUAUCGGGAUCGGGGCGUGUCAAUUAAGUUGUCAAAAAUUUUAAGCCUUAGGAUCAAAACUAAUACAAUCUUAUGGCUAGUAUGCAUUUGGUUCUCAUGGGUCCUCAAAAUCAAAACCUUAGAAGAGCAUGACUCUUGUGAAUAAAGACUAGAUGCAUAUUAGCCACAAGAUUGUAUUAGUUUAGAUUCAAAGACAUAAAAACUUUUGACAACUUAAUAAAGCAAAACAAAAAAUUGACAAGUGAUUAUUUUCAUUUUUCACUUUCAUUGUGAAUUGGCAAAAUUGAUCUAAAAAAUUUGGAUGUUGCACAAAUCAUAAUCAAACGUAAUAAAAUUGUGAAUAAUUUUAAUGUAAGGACUAGAGUCAUGCUCUCCUAAGGUUUGGUUUUAAGGACUUGUGAGGACCAAAUGCAUUAAGCCACAAGAUUGUAUUCGUUUAGAUCCAAAAGUUUAAAAUUUUUGACAACUUAAUUAAUAAAGUAAAAAGUUACACUAUGUUUGGAUGAGGAAAAUAAACUUAGAAUUUGUAUAAAAGUCAGAAUUUAUAAAUUGACAUGCACCAAUUCCUUUGUUUGGAUUCAUAAACAUAGAAAUUUAGAAUUUCCGCGUGGAAAAAAACUUGGAAUUUGGGACCUCCAAUUCCCAAGUUUAAAUUCCAUGUAAAUAGGUGUCAUUUCCCAAUUUCUAUGAUUGAAAGUUUAAAAAUAAUAAAUUACAUAUUCAAUUCCAUAUUCUUUUAGGUUAAUCAAACAAGAAAAUUCACAAAUUCUAGAAAAUAAAAUCUCGUCAUUUCAAUUACCGUCAUUUUAAAAUUCCUUAGUAAUCUUAAAUUUCUUCAUCCAAACAUAAUGUAAAUUAUUUUUCUAAUGGUUCAUGAAUUUUAAGUUCGUUUUGAAUUAUUAAACUGUCAAAUAUUUUAAAUUUAUGGUUCUAAACUAAUACAAUCUUAUGACAAUUAUGUAUUCAGUCAUCACGGUCCACAAAAUAAAGACUCUGGGAAAGUAGGACUGUAAGAACAUUUCAUGCACCAAAUGGUCAAUCAUCUCGGUCAAAUGGAAUUCGUGAAAAAUCAUUUUGAGCUGAAGAAAUUGCAUGUUGGGCAUCACUGAAAGAUAGGGUUCUUUCUGUCGUUUAUCCACUGCUCAUCACAAUCAGAGGGGGACCAUAUUUAACGUCUCCACCAUACUGUACGGAAAGGGAAUGGUUGGGGUGGCAGCUUUCAAGUGCUGCAGUACCAGCCACCCAACUCCAAAGGGGUUAUUCAUGAAGGUUUUUCAAUUAUAUAUAAUAAGAACAUUGGAAUUACAGGUUAGUGUCGAGAAGCAAUGUACUUGAAUGGCUGGCCACUUUCUCGAAUCUAGCUAGUGGAUGGCCUUAGGCUGCAUUAUUCAGUUAGUAUAUUUUGCAUGAUAUAUCGUUUUGUAUUAGAUAACUAUAGGGUGUUGCAGUAGAACUGAAUUAGAUCCUUUUUCGACUUGUAACUUCUCUUUACUGUCAAUUCUCUACUGACACGAAAAUAGGCGACCCAGCUCAAUUUACUUCUUGCACCAAGUCUCCAAGAUCUUCCCAAAAUUUCUCCUUCGAACUCGUAUCCAACCCUACUUGAGGUGCGUACGCACUAAUCACAUUGAUAAGUUCUUGUCCUAUUACAAUCUUGAUUGCCAUGAUUCUAUCUCCUACCCUCUUGACAUCUACAACAUCUUGUACCAAGGUCUUGUCAUAUGAUCUCUUCUUAGCCAACACCUUCUUUAAGAAGAGAGAAGAACAUGUGAUCACCUACAAGAGUGGGUCGUCAAAAACACAAAUAGAUUUUCUUCUAAUAAGGAAAGGGGAUCGUAUAACUUGUAAGGAUUGCAAAGUUAUACCAGGAGAGAGCGUGGCUAAUCAACAUCGCUUGUUGGUGAUGGAUGUACAUAUCAAAAGAGUAAGACAAAAGAACAAGACUUGGAAGUGCCCAAGGACUAGAUGGUGGAAUCUAAAAGAAGAAAAACAAGCCAUUUUCAAAGAGAAGGUAAUCACCCAAUGUGUGUGGGAUAGAGAGGGGGAAGAAAGCUUCAACAUACAAGCUUUAACAAAAGAAAAUUCAAAGAACUUAGCGAAGAAGGCUUUGGUGUAUUUAACACAAUACGUUGAAAUGAAGGAAAGCUUAUUUAUUGAUAUCCCCGAUAAGCUACAAAUAUGUACAUAUACAUGAGUCAAAAUAAGCACACAAGAGGGAGCCUUCAUAAAGGUUGCUUAGGAGAAGUCUCAGCAGUCGGUAGAGCCCCAGAAAGAGAAGGCACCGGAGGGGGAUCAUUUGGAGCCUCAGUACUGGACAGAACCCCUAGAAGGAGGAAGGCAUCAGAGGUUGAUCAUUUGGAGCUUCAUUACGCCGGUACAGCCCCAGAAGACGAAGGCAAUAAAUGCCUUUGGAACAAACCCACAAAUCUCUGAUGAUCAAGUAAAACCUGACCAUCAGUUUCCUUUCAUCUGGUCAAGCUUCCUCUUCAUGUUUGUAGCAUAGUCAUGUGCGAGCCGGUUCUGCAACUGUUUAUUCUCAUGCUUGAGCCCUCUAAUCUCCUGUUUGAGACUCAUCACUUCAGCCGCCAAUGAUUCAACUUGGCGGGUUCGAGCAAAUAGGCGUUGGGCCAUAUUAGACACAGAACCUGCACACUGAACACUGAGAGCCAGCGAAUCCUUAACAGCUAACUCAUCAGACCGUUUGGAAAGUAGUCUGUUAUCUUUGGGAGUGAGAAGGUUCCUGGCCACCACCGUAGCGGUCAUAUCAUUCUUCAUCACGGAAUCCCCAACGGUAAGAGGACCAGUAGGGGAGACGAAGGAUGGGCGCCAUAUGUUGUCUGGAGAAGGCGGGGCUGCCUCUUCAACAAGGUUCAAGUCAAAACGACGGUCGAAGGGGCCAGACAUUUUUCAAAGGUGUUGAAGAGAGAAGAGGUCGGACAAAUCAAGAUCUUAGAAGUGCAAGAAUGAAGCUUCUACUGGUGGAGAUUCAAGUGUGCUUUGGAACUUAAUGCCAGCCCCUAUAAAAAUCUGCACUCGACGAAAGCUUCAGAAAUCGAAGAGGCGUUUGCUUUCUCAAAAAGCUGGGCUGCUUAGAGAUCACGAGGGGGUUGAUCUCAGAAAUCGAAGAGGCGUUUGCUUUCUCAAAAGUUGGGCUGCUCAAAGACCACGAAGGCCGAUCUCAAAAAUCGAAGAUGCGCUCGCUUUCUCAAAAGCUGGGGCUCCCCAGAGACCACGAGGGCCGAUCUCAGAAAUCGAAGAGGCACCUACUUUUCCAGCCUUUUCCAGCCUUGUCAGCACCUGUAACACGCACACUCAGUUUUGCGGAAAUUAUAGGCAUUCUGUCAAAGACUUCUGGGGAAGUAGAAAAACACAUGAAUCUUACUGUUCAAUCACCCACUUCCCACACGCAACAAUAGCUCAUGGGUACCACAGAUAACUUUGCCAAAGUUCUCUGCCAAAGUUGAGCACGUGAAGCUUGCAGCUCCCACUACAUCGCUCUGACCAAGAAGGGUAAAAGAAUAGCAAAGAAACAGCACUAACAAAGUUUAGACCCAUAAAUUUUGAAGGUCUAGCUACCAUAUUAUUACCCACAAGGGUAAAGGAACAGUACCACUGCUGGAUAAUUGGAAAGUCCCUGUGUGUCAACCUCUGUGCUUCGUGGCAAGGUAGACUAGCAAACAUGCCCAACCUUUACUCCACAUUCGAGAAAACACUCCCAAUAAGAUUGCUUGCUCCAAAAAUCGAAGAGGCACCGUCCUCCGAAUCUCGAGAGCUAGACUCCCAACAUGACUACUUUCUUAAAAAAUCGAAGAGAGGGUAAAGGAACAGUACCAUUGCUGGAUAAUUGGAAAGUCCCUGUGUGUGUCAACCUUUUGUGCUUCGUGGCAAGGUAGACUAGCAAACAUGCCCCAACCUUUACUCACAUUCGAGAAAACACUCCCAACAAGAUUGCUUGCUCCAAAAUCGAAGAGGCACCGGCCUCCAAAUCUCGAGAGCCAGACUUCCAACAUGAUUACUUUCUCAAAAAUCGAAGAGACACUGCUCCCCGAAUCUCGAGAGCCAGACCCCCAGCAUGAUUGCUUUCUCAAAAAUCGAUGAGGCAUCGUUCUCCGAAUCAAUCGAAGAGGCGCUCGCUUUCUCAAAAGCUGGGCUGCUCAGAGACCACGAGGGCUGAUCUCAGAAAUCGAAGAGGCACCUACUUUUCUAGCCUUGUCAGCACCUGUCACACGCACACUCAGCUUUGCAGAAAUUAUGGGCAUUCUGUCGAAGACUUCUGGUGAAGUAGAAAGCACAUGAAUCUUACUGUUCAAUCACCCACUUCCCACACGCAACAAUAGCUCAUGGGUACCACAAAUAACUUUGCCAAAGUUCUCUGCCAAAGUUGAGCACGUGAAGCUUGCAGCUCCCACUACAUCGCUCUGACCAAGAAAGGUAAAAGAAUAGCAAAGAAACAGCACUAACAAAAGUUUAGACACAUAAAUUUUGAAGGUCUAGCUACCAUAUUAUUACCCACAACUGUAAAGGAACAGUACCACUGCUGGAUAAUUGGAAAGUCCCUGUGUGUCAACCUCUGUGCUUCGUGGCAAGGUAGACUAGCAAACAUGCCCAACCUUUACUCACAUUCGAGAAAAACACUCCCAAUAAGAUUGCUUGCUCCAAAAUCGAAGAGGGCACCGUCCUCCGAAUCUCGAGAGCCAGACUCCCAACAUGACUACUUUCUCAAAAUCGAAGAGAGGGUAAAGGAACAGUACCAUUGCUGGAUAAUUGGAAAGUCCCUGUGUGUCAACCUUUGUGCUUCGUGGCAAGGUAGACUAGCAAACAUGCCCAACCUUUACUCACAUUCGAGACAACACUCCCAACAAGAUUGCUUGCUCCAAAAUCGAAGAGGCACCGCCCUCCGAAUCUCGAGAGCCAGACUCCCAACAUGAUUACUUCCUCAAAAAUCAAAGAGACACUGCUCUCCGAAUCUCGAGAGUCAUACCCCCAGCAUGAUUGCUUUCUCAAAAAUCGAAGAGGCAUCGUUCUUCGAAUCUCGAGAGCCAAAUACCACAAACCACUUUUUCAAAGUGCUCUGACAGAGUUAAAACAUGUGAAAUUGGCAGCUCCCACUACCAUGCUAUGACCAAGCAGGGUAAAGGAAUAGCAUUACUACUUGUUGUUAGGGAGACUCCUAUAUAUGUCGACCUCCAUCCCCAACGGACAGGCAGACCUGCAAAAAUGCUCAACCCUUCAUCAUAUCUGAUAGGGCACUCCCAACGAAGCCUUUCGAAAUAUUCAGCUUUCUUUCCCCCCGAUAAUACCUCUGCAAACAAGCUAUACUAGAGCAAGAAUAUCUCAUAUCAUUAGGGUUAAAAGCAAGAGUAUCCCAUAUCAUGCUUUUUCCCUAUCUUUUCUUUUGGCCUUGUUUUUACCUGCAAGACAAGGAGAAAGAGAGCAAUCAGUCAGCACUUGGAAUCAAGCUUCCAGCCAGGAACUGACUGCCUGGAACCCCUUACCUGAUUACUUACCUGGCAUUGCUCUCGAGUACUCAUCUUCAACAUCUUAUGUUUCCAGGGAAGAUUCUGCAUCUGCUUGAGGAACAGAUAGGGCAAGUGCGAAGGAUACAAGGAAGCAUGUGGAGACAAGCGUAACAGCACACGUGCCGAUACAUUCAUUACUCUGUCAAAAGCAAAAGUAUCCAUAUCAGCAGGGUGGAACGUACUCUAGAUUUGGUGGACUUGUUUUGACCCUCAAAUUCUUCAGUCGGCCUUAUACUCUUGGAGGAAACCAGAAAACCCUCCAGCUCAGUUCAAGAAUAAGCCUGUGGAAAGUUACUUCUUCAAAAGCAAAAGUAUCUCAUAUCAUCUCUUCUCAUUUUUUCUUCUCUUUAUCCUUCAUGCUGCUGCAAGAUGGGGAGAAGGUGAACAAUCAGUCGGAGCUCUGAUUGCUUACCUUGUCUGUCACCUCUUUUCAGCAGACCCCCUAGCUCGGCGACUUGGGGACUCCUACUACAUGGUUUGUAUCGCGCUUGACCAAGCCUGAAACUACAAGUAAGCUUCAAGUGAAAUUGAUACAUUACCUUGUGCAUCUCCACCAGUUAAAGAUACCACCCCUGGAUGGAGGAAGAGUACUUCCAGAGAAGAUGCCACAUCUACCUAUGAGACAGAUAAGGCAAGUCAAGACGACACCACACUCCGAUACUUAGAAGUUUCGUGAUUACGAGAUCAUUCUCCCACAAUAUUUCCUAAUGUCAUUUGUACUAAAUCAUUCACUUGUACUCACUAAAUGAGAGCUUGAACCUAUGUACUUGUGUAAAACCCUUCACAAUUAAUGAGAACUCUUCUAUUCCGUGGACGUAGCCAAUCUGGGUGAACCACGUACAUCUUGUGUUUGCUUUCCUAUCUCUAUCCAUUUAUUAUACUUAUCCACACUAAUGACCGGAGCAAUCUAGCGAAGAUCACAAAAAGCGAUCGUUUUCGCUACCUAGGAUCUAUCUUGCAAGAGAACGGAGAAUUAGAUGGAGAUCUCAACCAUAGAAUACGAGCUGGAUGGAAAGAGUGCAUCCGGCGUGUUGUGUGACCGUCGUAGGCCACUGAAGCUCAAGGGAAAAUUUAUAGGACGGCAAUAAGGCUAGCGAUGUUGUAUGGCACAGAAUGUUGGGUGGUGAAGCAUCAACACGUACACAAAAUGGGUGUAGCGGAGAUGAUGAUGCUUCGUGGGAUGUGUGUGGGGCACACGAGAAGGAUAAGAUUGGGAAUGAGGAUAUCCGAGGUAAAGUAGGAGUAGCCGAAAUUGUAGGAAAUAUGAGAGAAAAUCGGCUCCGGUGAUUUUGAACAUGUGCAAAGAAGGCCGACUGACGCUCCGGUUCGAAGAUGUGACUACGUACGGACAGAGGUUCAGGGCCGAAGGGGUAGAGGAAAGACCUAGGAAAAAUUUGGAAGAGACUCUAAGAAAGACUUAGAGUACUUGGACGGUCUGAACGGAGACAUGAACAAAAAAGAGACGCACGGCAUGGUGCGUUCUAGGGAUUCAUAAUAUAGCCGACCCCACUUAGUGGGAAAAGGCUUUGUUGUUGUUGUUGUUGUUGUUGUUGUGGUUGAAGCGCACUUUGUUUUGUUGAAUAAUAGAAUGUGCUGUUUCAUCUGGUCUCUGCUUCUCUGUCUAUUGUUCCACCAUGAAUGGCCAUGCCAAGUUACUACUUUUGGCAUUUCUUCAAUUCCUGGAAUUCAAACUUGUAUAGUUUCAAAUGUAAGGGGGUACCUUCGUUAGACAAGCGACGCCAUUGUUCAAGAAUCAAUUAGAAAUGUUUUGGUUAUAGGACUCUUCUGGUUUCCCUUAAGUACUAGUCCAAUUGCUUCGAUACCUUUCCGAAGGAGGAGGUUGGACUUUAUUCUAUCGGAAUUCCACUUCCGGGGUAACCUCGUUUUGUGUCGGAGUGUGAAAAGUUUGUGUCUUUGGGUGAUUAAAUUUAUGACAUAGGUGCGUGUUCUGUGUUUCUACUUUUUGUUUCUUAAUAAAAUUCACUUGUACUAUCGAGUUUGUUCAGAAUCUUGUAAAUUUAGUUCUUUUGUAUGAUUACAAUAUGUUCUUAACUUUAGAUCAAGCCCACCUUAUUUUCAAAUCCCGAUGUGUCCGGGAUUGUGUUCAUCUACUUUGUAUCAUACAAAAUAUCAUGAAUGAUGAAGCUAUAACUGAUUUUGCUGAUUUAGUAUGGAAUUGGAUGUUACUCUGUUUAUAGUAUGAACGAUGAAAUUUACAAAUGUAGGUAAGACUAGUUGAUUAUACUAGUGUGUUUGUUCCUUUGCAGCCAAGUUCAAAUUCUCAUCCUCGUAAAUAUGACUAGUGUAAUAUCUCUUUGUGUCAAAACAAAAUAUGUUGAUCCUUACAUAUGGUUGGCAUAUCAUUGGGACUGCUUCAGAGAUACUCUCAACGGUUGAAAUCCAACCGCAAUGGCUCUAAAACCGUCCAACUUCCUUGUGUGCCGGGACUUGAUUUCAGGGUGCCCAUUUCACUGUUGGCCAGACCCCAUGCCAUUAUAUAAGUCUUGACUGUCCAUGAAAGCUAUGCUUCCUAGGCUUACAUAGCUAACAGAGAGUUUUGUGCUUGUUUAUCGAACCAUGACAUACAGCUCUGGCCAUCUUUCAACAAGCUUAUAGACAGGGAUGGAACAGUUUCGUGCAGAGGACCGAUAGGAAACAAUGGAAUUUGAUACUCUUGCUGGAGCCUUGCCAGUGAUGAUUGUUAGAGGCAGUCCAUGCUGUUCCAAAUGAUAGCUGAAGCCUGAAGAUGACCUUGAAUCGUGGGCUUUCGCUACUAGUUGCAGCAAGUCGUCCAAACAUUUGAAGUUGCUAAUGGGUAGAUCUUUAAAUCUGAGGGGUUGAAGUCCUGGUAAGCAUCGUAGAAUCUGUACUCCGAUAGGUCAAGCAUCGGAGAUCUUAAGGUUAGUUUAGACAUUGGCAAAAAUUACGAAAACCAGAGUCAUCCAUUUCCCGUAAAAGGGUUAAAAUGGUAAUCAGUUAGUUGAUCGAUAUUAUGUAUUUACAUCUCAUAGUUUAUGUCAAGACAGAAGUCGAAAAGUUGAGAUGUCUGAUUGUUACCUUGAAUUGGAAUGUAACCAUGUUUUAGGAGCCUAGGAAUUGCUUGGUAAGUCAGCGUGUUUGCGGCACUGCUAGUAAUCAAUAUGAUGCUAGGCAACCCUAUAUGAUUAGCCAACUCUUCUGAAUCCGAGCCAAUGACUCCUGCAGUGGGGCUUUGUAGUGGCGUUAAAGCCUGAUAUCGCAGCUACAAAGUUGUAGGACGAGGCAUUUUGCUCACAUAAACCAUCGGACAUCCUGAAGAAGUCGAAAUCAGGGUAGUCCGAUGGGUUGAGAAAGUUGAACACGGUAAGAGAGACUGAUGUCGAAGCCUUGGAGACCAGUUGAAGCAUUGGAGUUAUGUGCCCUUGAAACGUACAUGGAACCAGUACCAAUCUCUGGCUCAUACGUUGUUUUUCCAUUGCUCUUAAGAUUUGUGUAGCUAUAAGGGAAUACUUCAACUAAGUUGGAUCCUCAUUCCUUGUAGCUUAUAAAGUAGGUUGCAUAGAAAAGUCAGUUCUCAGUCCUUUGUAUGGAUGAUUAGGAUGCUAAUUAAGUUGGAAAUUAAGGAUAUCAACUAAAUUUCCUAGAAAUUGGACAACCGUCUUACGUUGAAGAAGUGUCCUUAUAUUAAAAUAAUAUAGAACACCUUAGGGGUAUGAUUUGGGAAAAACAUAUUGGGAAGGAAAUUCGUUGGUAGACAAUUGGCUUUAUGAAGUAAUCGUAAAAUGUAAGGAGUGGUGUUAUAUCCACUCCUAUGUCUUAUCUCCCCACUCACCUUAUAUUUACACCCACCAUAAAAAAUGAAGAAAAAAAAUGCUCUUAUUCCCACUCACCAUUAUUUCCUAAAUAACUCUUUCUGUAAAACAUAGUUAUAAUUUAAAAAAUAAUUAUCCUUAAACAAAUAACCAAACAACUCCAAAUUUCACCACCCCCAACACCCAGCUGCCCUCCUCGGUCGCCAACCAUCACAGCACUACCACGUUCCGAAAACCGCUCCAGUGCCCAUCAUGUUAAACCCCACCCCCAUUUUUCAUCUUAUUUCUAUUUUUUCCCCUAGAACAUAUUUGUUAUCUAUCAAUUUAGUCCCUUAUUCUCUUUUAAUCCUAACCUUUGAUCUAGAAAUGUUGUCUCUCUUAGACUGCCAUGUGGCAGCUCUCAGAUCUCUCCCUUCUUCCCUCUCUUCCCGAAACACAUCUCAGAACCUCUCUCUUUUUCUGUUUCUUCUCUCUCUCUCUAACUCUCAAAAACUCUCACACUCUCUAAGCUCCGAGAGCUUCUCUCUAACUUUCACCUCACUUCCUUCACAAAUCAAACCCCAAAAACCAUAUAUUUGGAAUCCUUGAGACCUAACGAACUCAAUGGUACCCUUGCAUGCGCCAUCUGAGCACCGUGGGUUUUUCUGUCAUUGAAGCCGAGAGCUUCAAAGCUCUAAAACUCCAACCCAGGUAAAGAUUGUGUUCCUUCUUCAAAUUUCUGGGAUUAAUCAUGUUAUUUGUGUUGGUUUUAAGGUCAAAAUCGAGGGUUUUGACCUUACCUUUUCUCUAUGCCAAAAACCCGGUUCCGACGACGAACUCCGGCGAGUUCGUAGGUGUGUGUGUGUACAAGUGUAUGUGUGUGUCCGUGUGUGUGUAUGCGAACUGUGGGUGUGUGUGAGCAUGCUGUGCAUGCCGUGUAUACUGUGCGUGUAUGUAUGUGUAUGUGCAAGUGUGUAUGUGCGUGAACCGUGUGUGUGUGUGUGUGUAAGUAUGCAUGAUGUUGUGCGUGUGUGUGAUUAUAUAUAUAUAUGCAUGAUGCUGUGCGUGUGUGUGAUUAUAUAUAUAUAUAUAUAUGCAUGAUGCUGUGCGUGUGUGUGAUUAUAUAUAUAUAUAUAUAUAUGCAAGUGUGUGUGUGCAGCGCAUGCUUAUGCAUGCUCUGUGUGUGUGUGCGUGCAGUGCAUGCUUUGCAUGUGUGUGUGUGUGGGUGAGUAUGGGUUGGGCUCCAACCCAAACCACCUCUUGAUCCUAACCUAUCCAAAUCCAAGGCCCAUUUCCAUUUCCUAGAAUUAUAUUGUUGGGUAGUUUGAUUAACUGUACGUUCUUGUACUUAGGGGCAAUCAUCGCAACGUUUCUGUCUUCGCUAGUGGCGCAGCUUUUGACGGAGUAUUUGUGAGUGGACCACCUUCGAAAAUUGCAUGUUUUAUUGAUAGAAUUGCAUAAUUUAAUAGCAUGCCUUACAGAAUUAUUUGAUUUGAGGAUCGAUGAAAUUAUGCUACGAAGUUGUAUUUUAGAGAUGAAUUAUGUUUUGUGCGUACCUAGUGAACACUAUGCCGCCUGGGGCGAGGAUCUGGUGUUGGCAUUGAGGCCAGGAGAAAUAAUCCCUAGCGAAAGGCUGAGGGACACGGAGACAGGCAUUGGGCCGGGAGGGAGAUAUCUCUGGCUACGGGCACAGAGACUGAGGUGCAGGCAUUGGGCCGGGAGUAUUAUUAUUCAGUGCACUCACUAGCAGCACAACUUGUGUUAUGCUUCCUGACAUGAUUUCUUAUAUGAUUUAUGAUACGAUUUCUGAGAUUGAUUUGCAGAAUGAGAUUGAGUUGCAGAGAGAUAUAUGAAAUUAUUUUUAUGGCAUGCUACAGUUUUCUGAAAAGCUUAUCACUUAUUAUUCUAGUAGUUUUCAUUAUUAAAUUGUGGGGGUUAGUAUGUUCAUAACUGUUUUCGUACUAUGUAUGUAUAUAAACUUGGUCCACUCACCCUUGUUUUGCGCCCCCAUUCAGGACUUAGGAUGAAGGCACAUAACCCCGGCAUCAAGGUACUUCCGCAGCGGCAUCUUCGAGUCCUCUCGGGGUAGGACCCACUCAUUUGUUCAUUCAAUCUUAUCUUAGUUCUUGUUAGUGACUAGGUUUAGUUAUAUGCUCUGAACACGUUCCCAAAUUGUUAAUUCAUUGUUUUUAAAUUCAUAACCUGUAUUUAUUUCUUAUUCUUAGCUUUUGUAUCAAUUAAUGGCUUUCGUCACCCCCGGGUGUCGGCCAGCACGUGUCGGUCCUGGUAUUCGGGGAAUAUCAGGGUCGGGGCGUGUCACAUCACCCAGCAGCCCUCCUCAGUAUAACUAUUAUUAUGUGGCAAUAUAUGAUUUGUUGGUCUUUAGAUCUUUGAAAGUCAUUUUAUACAAGGAUAAAAUUAUCAAUAAAAUUAUUAUUUUAAGUGGAUGGAGAGAUCAGACAUUGGGGUGGACUUAGUAGCACUCAAUGUAAAUAAACAAACAUAGAUAAAAGUAUAGCCAGUUCAAUGCGAGAGAAAAUAAUGUUAGGGCAAUCUUUGAUUCCCUUUUAAAAAAAAAAUUAAAAAAAUAAAAAAACCUUCCGUAGAGUAGCCACAUUACGAUUGGUGGGUGAGGCCAAAUGGGAAAAGAGUGUGUUGUGUGUGCGGGCAGAUGGUAGAGCUGCCAUGCUAUGGUUGGUGGGUACGUAAGAUCAAUGCGGAGAGCACAAUUAUGUGUGCUGGAAGAUGGUCAUGUGGUAGGGAUGCUCGCAAUGAAAUUUUUCUCCAAAAGAUGGAUGGAUAAUUGUCUAUUGUUUUGUAUAUUCGGUUACACAAUACCUUCUGUUGUUGGGUUACUGAACUAAGGCAACUCACAUUGUUGUCCUCCUCACAGCCAUAUGUGAUGUUUGGGUACAAAUUGUUUGGGUUGUGCAUACAGCAAAAGGUCGUACCCAGUGCACAAGGCUCCCGCUUUACGCAGGAUCUGGGAAAGGUGAAUGUCGGCUAGCCUUACCCCCAUUUAUGGAGAGGCUGCUCCCAAGUUGUGCAUACAGCAAACCUAACUAAAUUAAAGCCAAAAUCUAGUUGGAGCCUUUUAGUACCCUGUCUCUAACUGAAUCAACCACGCCUAUUAAUUUGGUGGAAUGAAUCAAUGAAACAAGAGCAGAGAAGAGCAACAUUUUUUAUCUAUGAUUUGGUGGGGAGAUGUUCUGCUCGUCACUGGAUGUAUACAAUUGUGUCAAUGACUCUAUAUAAUAAAGUGACGAGGAAUAUAUACAGACACAAUGGUGUAUACAUCUGGCGACAAACAAAAGUUGGUUUGGAUUUGGAAUCAUAUCAACAUGCUCCAUUCCUUAAGUUCUGGAUUUGUGUUACCAACUAAUGCAUAACAAUAGGACACUUUAUUCAAAUUUGAGGUGGACUACAAAGAAAUUCUUUCUUGCAUCCAUCUGCAGGAAACUUUUUUUAAGGUUGUGGUAAAUACAUAUAUUUAAAGUGACAUGAUAAGUUCUACAAGCUUAUUCAAGAAUUUGUAGGAAGAACCACCAUUCCUUAAAGAAACUUCUAUUUUCUCCUUCAAAUCCUUGGCCCUAACCCUCAUCACCUCCCCAUCAGCAUCUACCAUCAGUUUCCUGACAGCUCUCUCAAUCUCUCCUCUCUCUAACUCAUUGUCUAAAUGUAGCCCUACUUUCCAUACUUGGCUAACAUACCUUGAAUGCACCUUCUGAUCGCCAAAAGACGGCAGGCAUAUCAUUGGAAUCCCUUCUGACAAACUCUCUAGCGUUGAGUUCCAACCGCAGUGGCUCCAAAACCCUCCUACUGCAAGAUGGGACAAAACUUCCCUCUGGGGUGCCCAUUUUACAAUGUAACCGCGUUCUCCAAUCGCUUCUACGAAACCUUGAGGCAAUAGCUCAAUCCCAUCUGAACCACUUACUGAGCCAGGUCUUAUCACCCAUAAGAAAGGCUGCUUGCUGUUAGCCAAUCCCCAAGCCAUUUCUGUGAGCUCUUUCUCACUGAUGGAUGCUACACUUCCCAAGCUUACCUAGAUAACCGAGUUGUUAGAUUGCUUGUCGAGCCACGCAAUGCAGCUGGUGUCCACUUCUAGUAAGCUACUAGAAGCUGCUGCUUCAAUCUUGUGUAAAGGACCUAUGGAAAACUUUGGAACUGGGCAUUGUUGCUGGAUCUGUGCUAGUGAUGAUUGUUCAAGACAAUCAGUGGUGUUCCAAACGAUUGCUGAUGCAGUCCUAACAUCGCAUACAUUAACGACUAGUUCUGAGUACUUUUCGAAUGUGUCAAAGUUGGAGGUGGGUAGAUCUUUCAACCUGAGGGGAUGAAACCCGGGCACCGGACUCAAUGACUGAGAGACUGCAAAGCCAAUGGUGUUGUUCUUAGUUAUAAGUAAGAAAAACGAAUAUCUGGGAUAGAAUAGCUUUUGCAGAAUGAUAGACAUAGUAACUGUAUUCUGAUUAGUAAAUAUAUGGCACAUAUAUACCUGGGAAUGGGAUGUGACCUUUUGAACGAAGUUGUAGGACAGCAGUACGAGCUAGAAAAUUUGUAACGCUGGUAGUUCGUAACAUGAUAUUUGGGAUGUUUAGAUCCUUAGCCACAGCUUCGGUGAAGUACAUAAAGUCAUCAUAGAUAACGCAGGUGAUUUUGUUCUCGGGUUCCUGUUCCAUAACUUGAGUCAAGCGUUGUCGGAAACUCGCUUUGCAGUUGGCAUUUAUAGCCAGCAGAAUGGCUACUAAAUUCCCAGAUGAGAUCUCUU